UCAUCAUCAGAUUCUUCUGCGGGCUCUUCCUUCUUUUCCUCUUCCUGAGCUGCAGCAGCUGGAGCCCCAGAAGCAGCAGCAGGUGCAGCAACAGCAGCUACAGCAAAUUUACUUGGGUCCUGCGUUUAAAAUAAAAAAUCGUAAAUAAAACGAUGAGGAUAGCAAGGCUUCAGAUGAUAAAAAAAGUCAAGAACAUUAUUACCUUCAGAUACUCCUUAACCUUGUCUGCCUCGGGGAAAGAAUAAUCUGUCUCAACCGCAACUGCAAGAACAUUCUUGUAGGCAUUCACAAACAUAUGUGGUGCAGCUGCAAGUGUUGGGUAUGAGAUAGCCAACGAAAGAGAAGUAACCAUGGAGACACCGGCAGCAAAUUUCUCAAGGAGGUCAUCCUCAGUGAGAUCAAGGACCUCAGGACUAAACACAGAGCCAUUAUCAUAAACAGAUAGGACCACAAGACCAUAAGAGAAAGGCCUAAUGCCAAGCUUGGCAAGCAAAGCAGCUUCAGAAGAUCCAACCUUUUCUCCCUUCCUAAUGAGUUCAACGGGGGUAAUGAUUUCCACAGUACCUUUGUUAAUCUUGGUCGGAAUGUUAAGCACCUAAAAUAAAGAGAAUACGCAUAAACAUAAAUAUUUUAACCAAAGCUCACUUCCUGUUUAGUUUGUGAAACCUGUAUUAUUUAGAAUAAUAUUGUUUACUCAGUCUUUUUAAAUAAAAAGCUUCAAAGAUGACUUUGGUUGUUUUGCACUUUCACCACAAUUCUACAUUAUAAAAAUAGUAUAUAAAACAAUACCAACCUGGAAGAAAGAGGUCUGAGAUGGAUCGAGACCGGUGUUGCCAGGAGGAACAACGACAUCAAUUGGGGCAACCAAACCAACACGAGCAGGAGCUCCGACCUGUGCAAAUCAAAUACAGCAAAGUUUUAAUGAAAUUUCAAUUGAAGUGCAUGGUUAACACUGACACGAUUGAAAAAUAGAAAACUAAAACUAAUCAUUUGUAAAUGCAAAAGAACACAACCAAGCGUAAUGACUAAUUCCUCCAGUCAUAACCAGCAUAAUUGGAUAAAUAAAUCCAACCUUAUGUAUUUAAAUUGUAGAAAACUCAAACUUGUGGUUCGCAACAUGCAUUCGCAGAGUAAUCAAGAGCAAGAUAUAACAGUAUCAUUCACUUUAAUACUACUAUUUUAGGUCACUCAUUUUUCAGCUAAAGAGACUCAUCCAAACCCUAAACCAGCAAUAUGAUCAUCUAACUAAAAAAAAUCACUUUUAUAUAUAAAAAACAGAAAAAAAAAACACACUAUUAAAUGCUGAACAAUAAAAUAAAUUUAAUAUAAAAUACAAAAAAAAAGCAAAAAUAUGAGUUUACCUUGUAUUUCGCAACCUCCUCACUGACCUCCUUCAGGUCACCCUUGGUGAAAAUCAAUCCAACAUUGCCCUAAUUCAACGUAAAAACACGUUCUCUCAGCCAAACAAUUCAAAACAUAAACUGAAAUUGAUUGAAAGAACACAACAAGCAUAUACAAAACACAAGGGCGAAAGCUUAAACAGUUUGAGGAGAAAGGGGAACUAACGACAAGGAGAGGAAUGAGGCUGAGAUAGACAUUGUUGCCGGUCUUCUCAGCGUGCAUCCUGACGGAGCGCUUCAUCAUGGUGUUCUUCCCCAUGAGUACGACAGAGUCACCGCGGAGACCCUUGCGAAUGUUCUGGAGCUGAUUGGAUCCCACGUUGUCGGCGUUCACCACGAGGAUCUGGCCGUACUCUUCCAGAAGCUGGCACAGCUUACCAUCGUAAGCGAUCUUCUUCUCUGCCUUGGUUUGUUUCGGUGCCAUUGAUGAUGAUGAUUGUGAUGACGACGAAGAUGUCUGUGACCGGAAGUUCGGCGCGGCAAAAACGAGGGCCAAGACGGGGCUCUGGCUCAGUCAAGGCGGACAGCAAAACGGUGCCGUCGCUUUAACCUCUGCUUCGUUGAGGUGAGGUGCAGAAGAGUGGGAGAGAAAGGAACGGAAGCGAAAUAACGACAACAGAGGGGCGGGCUGAAUUUAUUAGAUUAGGGUUUUUGAGAAACCUAAAUCCCACGGUUGGGAUCAUUUCAUGCAACAAAUCCGACGGCUCAUAUAAAGGCCCAAUGGGCUUCGAGUAUUUAUUUUGCUGGGAUUUUUCUUUUUUCACCUCCGUAAUUUAUAAACGUAAUUCUCUAUUUUUAAAAGGCUUAAUACCUCUAUUGGUUCUCGUAUCUAUAUCUCAAUUUCAGUUUGGUCCUCAAGUUUUGAAUUGUCUCAAUUGGGUCAUAAUUUUUGUAAAAAUGCACACAUUUUACCCUAACUGUUAAGUUGUCUCAAACGGCGUUAAUUAAUGCUGAGAUGAAUUUUUUAUUUUAGGCUUAAUUUCUCUCAUGUUUGUGUGAAAAUCUCAGUUCGGUCCUCAAGUUUUUUCUCAAUUCCUUAUGAAAUGCAAACAUUUUACCCCAACCGAUAAGUGUAUUGAGACGGCGUUAACUUUGAUGAUGGCAAUAAUAAUGGUGUAAGCCUGAAGAGAACAUUUUACUCUUUUUACUUUUAAUAUAGAGUCUAGGAUAACACAACCCAAAGAAAAUUAUUAUCAUCUUAUUUGCUCCAAUUCCUUUUUAUAUAUUUGUGUUUUUGUAAUCAUAUUAAUUAAUAUUUUCUUUGCAAAAUACUUUUUCUAGUUAUUCAAUAUUCUAUUAUCAUGAUUUCUGAAAAUUCUUCUUUCUACUCAUAAUUCUGAAACCACCACUAAUCCCUCUUCUUACCAUCCUUACACUUUCAAUACAUUUAUUUCUCUCAAACUUACCACUUGAAAACUUCUUACUAUGGUGGCAACAUACAUUUACCACAAGUAUGGUAUUACAAAUUUUCAAAUUCUUAGAUUGUCAAGAUAGUCCAUCCAAAUACUUUAAUCUUGAUGAUGCCCUUCACAACAUAGUUAAUCUCGCUUAUUUCUAAUAUAAGCAAUAAAGUCAACUCUUAGUUACUUGGCUUCUUGUUUUUAUGGAUAUAUUUGUUUUCACUCAAAUGGUUGGCCUCACUAUUGCUUCCUAAAUCUGGAAUAAGCUACAUGGUAACAUGUAUCUCAAUCUAAAGCUAAGGUAAAAUCUUUAAAGAUUAAGCUUAGAACACCUAAAAAUUAUAGAAAUGUUUCUAUCUAUCUUCUUGAUAUCAAGAUUGUUGACACUCAGGUGGCUAUUGGAUCUUUUAUCUCCAUAAAAGACCAUGUUGAAGCAAUUUUGAUGGUCUUUCUAAAGAUUGAUAGUUUUUUCACUUUUAUUCUCAAAACAAGCUCAAUUAGUUCAUUGAUCGAGCUAAAAUUUAGUUGAACAAAAUUGAUGCUUCUAAAUUUGAUCCAAAAGAAGUGCAAAUAAAUAUUAUUUUGAUCUCUAUUUUCCUCCAUUGUGUUUAAUGUAGUCUUCAUUUUUGUUGCACGUGUUCAAUGUGGUACCUAUUUUGGUAAAUUUUGUUCAAUCUGGUCAUUUUUCAUGUGUUGUCUAAGUUGUCGAUGAAAAGUGUACAAGGUAGCAUUGUUUGAAUGAGUUAUGCGCUUUUUGCUUACAUGACCUGUCAUGCACUAUUACUUGGAAUUAAUUUAUUUACUUAAAGAUUUAUUCCAACAAAUCAUUUGCAUGGGGGGUUUAGAACUUUCACCAACAUUGUGUAGAGGUGAGUGUGGUGUGAUAGAUGUUGGACGUCGUUUGUUGAAAUUCCAAGGGACUGAUCAUCGAUUAGGUGAGUUUGACUUCUUAAUUUGUGUUCGUCAAUACAUAUUGUGGUUGGUAUUUUUGUUGUGGGGUUUAGGAUUUUUGUCGUUCAUGAGUGCAUAUUUAUGUCAUCAUUUAGCCUAUAAUAUUGGAUUCUUAAUUGAUUUUUGUAAUUAAAAAUAAUAUUUUAAUUAGGAUUUCUUAUAAUUAGGUUUAUUGAGCAUGAAAUAGAAAAACAUGAUAAAAAUAGCUUUUUAGUUGCACAAUGCUCUUUGGAUAUUUUGAGGUGCAUUAGUGUAGUUGUAUCUAAGUUGAGCUCAUGGAGGUGUGAAAAUAAAUUGGUUAAAGUUUCAUGACACCUUAAAGAUAAAUCUAAGAAUAGAAAAUAAUCAAAAUCACGAAAAGAUAAGUCAAGCAUUGAAUGAAGAAGGCAAGAAAAGCAUGAAAAAAGGUAAGGAAAUUUGGCUAAGCCAAGAAGAGGGAACAAGUAACAAAAAUUAUAUCUUGCAGUUUUCUCUAUUUUUUUCUACUAAAAAGGCUUUGAUAAUUGAUAAAUGUUUAUAAUAAAAGAUAAUUUGGGAAAAAUAUAUCUUAAGAUAUUUUAUUUGAUAUUAUUAAAUAAUUACCUUAUUUAACUAUAUCAGUAAAUAUUAAAAGAUAAUAUUUGUCAAAUUUUUUUAAUCUAACAAAUAUCUUCUUAAAUAUUUAUAGAUAUCCACAAUAAUAAAAUAUAUCUUGAAUAUAUUGGAUUAUUUGAAAGAUAAUUGGAGGAGAUUACAUUAACAAAAAGAAAAUUAUAAUAACAAAAAAGCCUAAAGCCUGAAACAAAGCUCAAUCUAAUUUUUAUCUAAAGAGACAUAGGGAAAGACAUUAGGGGAGCUUAGGAACCAUAUAGGAACCUAAUUUCGUCUUCUCUCUUCUCUCAUGUUCUUCACCCUCUCUUCUUCUAUUUCCAUGUUAUUUCUACAUCUCAUAGAGUGUUAAGCCUUUGAGGGUGAUUCUGCUGUAAUUUAUUAAAUAAAUUAUGAGGUUAGAUCAAUAAAUUUGUUUGUUUUUGUGAUUCUUUUGGUGUUUUAUUUUUAUUUGUCUUUUGCUUCUUAAUCAAGUAAAAAUGAUUAUUUUUAUAUUAUACCAAGUUAGCAUGGUGCUAAAUGUUAUAAUAUAUUAUAACAAUAUUGCAAAAGUGAAGACGUUGCUUUUUGGUACGUUGCUUUGGAACGAUUUUUAAACGUUUAUAUUUAUAUUAAUUGGCAAAUGGUAAUGAGUAGCAAUAGUCAUUGCAAUGUUUUUUUUUUCAAUUCAACGUCCAUGUUUUUAUUAAUUAGCAAACAUUAAUAUUUGUGCCAACGUUCAAUCUUUUAAAAGGUGAAUUAAUUUUCAACAUUAAUAAUUUAUGGUUUUUAAUUUUCUUUAUUUAUUUUAUUCUCUCCUAACUCUAUAAAUAAAGAGCACUUCUCCCAUUCCAAGACACACAAAAAUUCAUUCUCUCAUUCUUCUCUUCUCUGAGUUUUAUUCUCUAGCUCUUUUCUCUUUUCCAAAAUAUUCUGGGUCAUUUUUAUUCUCUCUUAAGAGAUCCUUACUAGUUCUGAGAUCCUCAGAAAUAUUUUGAGAAGUUCCUGUUGUAUCCUGGGGGACUUGCGCACACUGCAGAUAAGUCCUUAAGGACAGUGACUCUACACGCCUCAGGAAAUUUUGUUCGUGAUUCUGUCAGCUUUUUACAACAAUCUUAAGGACUUAUGGCUAACGUCAUCAACAUGCCUUCGGAGAGCCAAACCAUUGUUCCCGUAAACCAGACGGUCUUCGCAAAAUCACUUUCGGACGUUGCUGCUCCCAAAAGGUACGCGCACACACGUGAUCACAAAAAGAAAAAUGAUUUUCUUAAAUCCCGUCCCAAUGAAUCUAAACCCACCUGGCGUAGAGUAAGAAAUGACAAUCCUCCUAGGGCAUAUAUAGCCGAGGGAGAUGACAUUAUUGAUGCGGUCGUUUCUGAAGUAAAUUUGAUGACCAAUGUGAGCAAAUGGGUGGUAGACUCUGGUGCUACCAGACAUAUCUGUGCAAACAGAAUUGCCUUUACCUCUUACACUAGUGUUGUAGAGGAUUGAGAAGAACACAUUUACCUCGGUGAUUCCAGCACCACUCCUGUUUUGGGAAAAGGAAAAGUUCUUCUCAAACUCACAUCUGGAAAGACUCUAGCCUUGAGUGAUGUGCUACAUGUGCCAUCAAUCGGAGUUAAUUUAAUCUCUAUAGCACUGUUGGGAAAGGUGGGGGUUAAAGUGUCAUUUGAGUCUGACAAGAUCAUUAUGACAAAAAAUAAUGUUUUUAUGGGGAAGGGAUAUUGUGAUCAAGGUCUCUUUGUACUUAACAUUUCUGAAAUUAUGAAUGAAUCUAGUUGUUCUGCUUAUAUUGUUGACUCGUAUGAUAUAUGACAUGCUAGAUUAGGUCAUGUGAAUUCCUUGUAUGUUUUGAAAUUACAACAACUAGGAUUGAUUAAUGUGCAUGAUAAACAAAGUAGUAAGUGUGACAUAUGUGUAGAAUCUAAAUUAACAAAAAAGACGUGUUUUUCUGUAGAACGCCAAACUGAAUUGUUAGGGUUAAUUCAUACUGAUCUAGCUGAUAUGAAACAAACCAUGUCUAGAGGAGGUAAAAAUUAUUUUGUGACCUUUAUAGAUGAUUUCUCUAGAUACACCAAAGUUUACUUAAUCAAACACAAAGAUGAAGCCUUUGAUGUGUUUUAACCUAUAAAGCAGAAGAAGAAAAUCAAUUGAAUAAGAAAAUUAAGAGGAUUAGAUCAGAUAGAGGUGGUGAGUUUGUAUUGUUUAAUGACUAUUGUGUUAAAGAACCCCACCAUAUUCACCCGAGUCUAAUGGAGUAGCUGAGAGAAAAAAUAGACCCCUUAAGGAAAUGAUGAAUUAUAUGCUUGUUAGUUCUGGUGCACCUGAUAACCUUUGGGGAGAAGCCUUGCUUACUGCAUGUUUUUUACAAAAUAGGAUACCCCAUAAGAAAACCGGUAAAACUCUUUAUGAGUUGUGGAAAGGUUACCAACCUAACCUUAAAUAUCUAAGAGUAUGGGGGUGCCUAGCUAAGGUGAUGUUACUCGAUCCUAAGAAAAGGAAAAUAGGCUAUAAAACCGCUGAUUGCAUGUUCUUAGGUUAUGCUGAACAUAGUGCUGCCUAUAGGUUUCUAGUUGUUAAAAGUAACAUACUUGAGAUAAAUCCUAUAAUGGAGACGAAAAAUGCUGAGUUUUUUGAACAUGUGUUUCCCUUAAAGGUUAGUGAGAUGUCUCAACCUGUUGAUGAUAAUGAUGAUAAUAAUAAUAGUGAUACUAUAAAUGAGGUUUUGAGAAGAAGUAAAAGACAGAGAAAAGAAACUUCCUUUGGAGAUGACUUUUAUACUUAUCUUGUUGAUAAUUAUCCAACUAGCUUUGUAGAAGCUACUAGUGCUCCUGAUGCAAAACAGUGGGAUGAGGCCAUUAAGACUGAAAUUGAAUCAAUUCGGAAAAACAAUACUUGGACUUUAGUAGAUUUGCCUAAAGGAGCAAAACCCAUUGGUUGUAAAUGGAUCUUUAAGAAAAAGUAUCACCUUGAUGGAUCCAUAGAAAAAUAUAAGGCAAGUAGCAAAAGGAUUUACUCAAAAACCCAACAUAGAUUACUUUGAUACUUUUGCUCCUGUGACUAGGAUUUCCUCUAUCUGAGUGUUAUUAGCUUUAGCAGCUAUCCAUAAACUAGUGAUACAUCAAAUGGAUGUUAAAACUGCCUUUCUGAAUGGUGAUUUAGAGGAGGAAAUUUAUAUGACUCAACCUGAAGGGUGUGUUGUACCUGGUCAAUAAGAGAAAGUAUGUAAACUUUUAAAAUCUUUGUACGGGUUGAAACAAGCACCAAAAUAAUGGCAUGAAAAACUAGAUAAUGUAUUGUUAUGUGAUGGUUUUUCAUCUAAUGAUGUUGAUAAAUGCGUGUACUCUAAAUCUGAAAAUGGUGAUAGUGUCAUUAUAUGCUUGUAUGUGGAUGACAUGUUAAUAUUUGGUACAUGCAAUGAGAUUGUCGCUAGAACGAAAUUGUUUCUAGGAUCAAAAUUUGAAAUGAAAGACAUGGGUGAAGCCAAUGUGAUUUUAGGUAUUAGAAUCAUAAGGAAAGGAGAUAGUAUUUUACUUUCUCAAGAACAAUACAUUGAGAAACUUCUUAAGAAGUUUGGGUUUUAUGACUUAAAACCAGUGAGUACCCCUUAUGAUGCUAAUUCUAAUUUAAUGAAAAAUAGAGGAGAAUCGUUAUCUCAGCCUCAGUAUGCCCAAAUAAUUGGGAGCUUACUGCACUUAAUGAGUUUUUCUAGACCUGAUAUUGUUUAUGCAGUAGGUAGACUGAGUAGGUACACUCAAUGUCCAAAUCAGGAACAUUGGGAUGCACUUGCUAGGCUUAUGAGGUACUUAAGAGGUUCAAUGGAUUAUGUCAUUGAAUAUAGUGGAUUUCCCGCUGUACUAGAAGGGUACAGUGAUGCUAACUGGAUCUCUGAUUCAGACGAGACAAAAUCCACUAAUGGUUAUGUAUUCACACUUGGGGGUGGUGCGAUUACAUGGAGAUCAACCAGGCAAACUAUUAUUGCAAGAUCAACAAUGGAAUCUGAGUUUGUUGCUCUCGAGAUGGCUAGUAAUGAGGCUGAGUGGUUGAAAAACUUCUUAGCGAACAUUCCACUAGGAAUGAAACCAACCCCAUCGGUAUCAAUACAUUGUGAUUGUCAAUCGGCAAUAGCUAUAGCUAAAAACAAGAAUUACAAUGGAAAGAAUAGACAUAUACAAUUGAGACACAAUUUGGUGAAGNNNNNNNNNNNNNNNNNNNNNNNNNNNNNNNNNNNNNNNNNNNNNNNNNNNNNNNNNNNNNNNNNNNNNNNNNNNNNNNNNNNNNNNNNNNNNNNNNNNNNNNNNNNNNNNNNNNNNNNNNNNNNNNNNNNNNNNNNNNNNNNNNNNNNNNNNNNNNNNNNNNNNNNNNNNNNNNNNNNNNNNNNNNNNNNNNNNNNNNNNNNNNNNNNNNNNNNACAAGUGAUGGUAACCCAACCUUUGUGAUUGGAGAUCCCAUGAAUAAGGUUCAUAUGGGUAAAAACAAGUCACUUGUUAGUUCUGAUAGCACUAAAUUGAUUUUAAUCAAUUAUGUCCCUUCCUAUGGUGUGUGUGAAAGUGCUAAAGACUGCAUUUUUGAGAGGUUAAACUUUGUCAUUAAAAUUCUAUGUGGUGAAAAAUUUUUAUUUUAAACAAAGUUUUUAAUGAUUUUCAUAUCCCUUAUUGGUGGUGUAUGAUUUGCAGCAUGCACUUGAUGAAAUCACCUAUAUGAGUGUCGAGUGAGGUCGCUUGCAUGAGAUCGUGGCAUGAUCUCUAGAGCACUCAUGAAUAUCGGGCACACACAUGGCCUAGUAAGUGCAACACAGCGAUAACAACAAGGAUUGUGGGGGUGUAUUGUGAUUAAUAAACCUCUAAGACAGGUCAAGUGUCUUUGGUUCAUAUAGCUUGCUAUACCAACUACACUGUGUGUUAAGUUUCUUAAUCUAAGACUGGUUCAUAUAGCUUGCUAUACCAGCUCUGAUGCAUUACAUCCUAUGAGACCCAGAAUAAAAGUUUCUUUCAACUUUCUUUUGCAAUAUGUAGGGGAUUGUUAUAAUAUAUUAUAACAAUAUUGCAAAAGUGAAGACGUUGCUUUUUGGUACGUUGCUUUGGAACGGUUUUUAAACGUUUAUAUUUAUAUUAAUUGGCAAACGGUAAUGAGUAGCAACCGUCAUUGCAAUGUUUUUUUUUUCAAUUCAACGUCCAUGUUUUUAUUAAUUAGCAAACAUUAAUAUUUGUGCCAACGUUCAAUCUUUUAAAAGGUGAAUUAAUUAUCAACGUUAAUAAUUUAUGGUUUUUAAUUUUCUUUAUUUAUUUUAUUCUCUCCUAACUCUAUAAAUAAAGAGCACUUCUCCCAUUCCAAGACACACAAAAAUUCAUUCUCUCAUUCUUCUCUUUUCUGAGUUUUAUUCUCUAGCUCUUUUCUCUUUUCCAAAAUAUUCUGGGUCAUUUUUAUUCUCUCUUAUGAGAUCCUUGCUAGUUCUGUCAGCUUUUUACAACACUAAAUAUACAUAACAUAUCAAUAAUAUGAGUCAAAUGAUUUUUAAUUUUAAUUAAAAAUUUACUUUGACUAAAGUUAGAAACUUUCAUGAGAUUGAAUGAGUUUUUUCUAAUAAUUGAGAAUGUACUUUGAUGAAAGGUGAAAAUUUUAACAAGAAUUAAUCAAGAAUGUACUUUGGUUAAUUAGUUUUUUACUUGAUAUAAGAGGUAAAAUAAUAGACAUGAUAAGGUAUAGAAAUAAUAUUUAAUUGAGAAUGUACCAUUACGAUUAAUCUACAAAGUUCUUGCUUUUAAGUGAGAAUAUACUUUGGCUAAUACUGAGAAUGCCAAUAAAUUAAUUAAAAAUUUAUAUCGAUUAAUUUGAAAAUCUAAGAGAAUAAUUAAUUGAACAAUAAUCUUUAGAUAACCAAUGAUGAAUACUAUUUAGAAAAAGCAAUGAAAUCAACCUAUUUUCUUUAUCAUUGUUUUUAUCUUUAAAUUUUUUUUAUAAAUUUAUUUUUUUCUAUCUUUUGUUAUUUUGUUCUUUAAUCUUUUAUUUAUCUUUAUCUUCUUUAUUAUUUCUAUUUUACUAAUCUUUUGAUAUAGUUUUUAUAAGAACUAAUUUGUUAAGAAUCAAUUUUAUAUUCGUCGGAGACGACUUUAGGGUCACUUAACCCUGAAUAAUCUUUGGCCACUAUUUAAGCAAUAUUGAAGUUGUUAUAAAUAAGUAAUAUUAAUUCAAUCGCUUCAACGAUAGCUUUAUUAGUCGUAUUACGUUAUUUUUUGUUUGUUGUCCAUUUUGGUUUGUUGAUGUUUUUGGCAUGAUGUGGAUUGAGUAAAAUGUCAUUGCUUAUGUGAUUGGAUUCUACUUUGGUGUCCCAAAAUUUUGAAUUGUAUGUCAGUUGUCAGUUUCGAGAUUGGUCUAAUAUACCUUUAAAGCUUUUUGAAUGUGUAAGUGGUUCCCAUGAAGUUAAAAUAUAUGUUUUAAUUUUAUAGACUUGCGUGUAUUGUUGUUUUAUGAUGUCUAAUGAGAGAUUUGAAAUUCUGGUUCAUCAUAGUGGAACUUUGAAAAAAAUGUAUCAUUUAAAUAUAUUGGUGGAGAAAUGAGUUAUUGAAUGAAUGAAACAAGAAACUUUGAAAAAAAGAUUAAUCAAGGUUCUUUUAUAAAUUUUAAAUUUGUGUAACUAACCUAGGUUAAAAGAAAAGAAGAAUAGGGAAAUGAAAAUUGAAUGAAUGAAUAUCUCUAUGCAAUGUUUAAAUGAAUGUUGUAUCAAAACUAUCAAAGGCAGAAUCUUAAAUACCUAUAACAAUUUAUUUUAUACGUAUGCAUCUGGACAUUUUUGUUUUACGGCCUCUAACACAUCAUUUUAGUGCAUAUUUUUGUAAUUGCAAUGAUGUUAUAUUUCCUAUGAAAUGAAUGCUACUUGAAUGCAGUGUGCAAGAAGGGAGAGAGAUGAAUGCAGAUGGUUGGUUGGUGCAAAUUGGAAUGUAGAAUGGUCCUAUCUAUAGAAGGAUAUUCCUUCCUAGACAAUGAUAUUUUGACAACACUUUUUGACAACUUUUUUUACAACGGGACACGUGUUAUCAUUUUAUUGAUCUAUUUGAAUUUAUAUUUAAAAAAUAUUUAAAACUCACGUAUACGUUGUCAAAAAGUUGUUAAAAAAGUGUUGUUAAAAGAAGUUUUUCCUUCCCAAUAUUAAAGAAUUCACACUGUGUAGUAGGCAAAAGAUGUAGAAAAUGAAGGAAACAAUCAUGAAGUAGUUGGUGUGGAAUUAAACUUAACAAACGAAACCAAUAUUCAAUAUGAAAACUAUAUUAAACAUGCAGAAAAAUAAAUAAAUACCACAAUAAAAACCAAAAUAAUGUUUAAGCCUGAAUGAAAAAUAUUCAUUAUUAUUAUGAACCACUUUGAAAGUUUUAAUAAAAUAUUGACGUCAUAAUAACCAUGUGUGCACGCUAAAUUUUCCCAUACUUAUGGAGAUAGAUAACGUAGAAGAAAAUAAUUAUUAUUACUGUUCUUUAUAAUAAAUAAUAAAAACACCAAUAUAAGUGAUAUCCAAAUAGUAAUAAUAAUGAUAAUAAAAAGUAUUGGCAAAUAUUUUCAAAUUAGCUUUGACAUGAUGUUACAGGUAAAUAUGUAGUAACAUUUGAAAAAUUAAACCGGUUAUAGAUAAAAUCAUUUUAAUAAUAAAAGCAUAUAAAAUAAUACUGAAAUAUAAUAUCAUAAUUUUUUUAUGUUAUAAAUUAAUACGUAAAUUUACAAAUUUUUAACAUUUAAAUAUACAUCCAUUUUUGUUAAUAAUAAUCAAUUAGAAAUAUAUUCAUAUUAUAGCAAUAUAUGUAGAAAGAUUUUUUUUAUCAGAUUUACUCGAUGUAUUCUUUAAUGCAUGUAAAUCUGUUUUAGUUAUUUUCUUCUUUUAUUUCCUUCUAAACAACAGUUAAACGAUUUCAAAUUCCUUCUAUCUUAAAUUCAAAUAAAAUAAUAUAAAGAAAAAAUAUAUAAAAAUAUAAUAUAUAAUCAAUAUUAGUAAGUAAAACAAUAAAAGUUAUCAUAAAAUGUAAAUUUCAACUAAAAAAACUUACAUGAUAAAAAUGCAAACUAUGAGUGGGAAAAAAUAUACUUUUGAUUAAUUUUCAUUCUUUUAAGAAAAGAAAAAUCUUAACUUGUGAUUUAUUAAAUUUUUAUUAACAAUGUUUAUAACUAAUUUCAUCAUUUUUUUUAUUCUUUUAGGGUGAUUUUUGUGGUUUAUAUGAAUUGAUUAAUUUAUCACUCCACCUUUUUUUGUUCCUACCUGCAAAAGAGGAUAAGUGUUUUAAGAUAAAGAAAUGUUUGUUUGACUUAUAAAUUUAAUAAUAAAUGUCUUUUCCAAAUGGGUUGUGUCUAAGGGUGGUGAUCAUUUCCCACACGCUAAGCCAAACACACCCCUAUUUUUAGCAUAUACAUAUAAAUAUGAAUUUAACCAUCUUAAAUACUUAUAACUCAAACCAAGAAAUCAAAAGCUCUUAUUUUCUUCCAAUUUUCCUAUUCACAUGGCUUCUUCUCCUUCCUUAGAAAACUCAAAACAAAAGGGUAUGCAAUGCUAUUCUCUAUAUUUUAAAAUUAAAUAUUUUAUUUCUUAUAUUUGUGCUUUUAUUUACUCUUGCAAAAUUUAUAUUUAAUAACUUCUUAGCUCUUUAUUUAUUAUUUUGAAUGGUUUUAAUAAGUUGGUUCCGGUUUAAUAUAUUACAUUAAUGGUAACGUCAUAUGUAAAACAAAUAAUAAAUAUCAUCACUUUUAUAAGAAGUUAUGACAAAUUUGAUAGAAAAUAUUACAGUAACAUUUAUUUAAGAUCAAAUGAAGAAAAUUUAAAAUAGUACGACGAAAUUGAAAACUAAAAUCUUAUAACAGAAAAAAAAAGUUAUUAAACAUUUUUAUUUUAGUCGCUAUAAAACAUUUUCCUUGAUUUUCAUCCCUUUAAAAUUUAAAAUUGUUAUUUUUUACCUAAUUAUCAAAUAUUUGUUAACAAUUCAUUUAAUUCACAAAAAUAAUUACUCAUAAAUGACACUCCAAUGUUAUAUAUAUAUAUAUAUAUAUAUAUAUAUAUAUAUAUAUAUAUAUGCCAUGAAAAGAAUAUUUAUUUUGAUAAAAUAUUGAUAUAAGUUAUAUUAUGUUUUUUAAAUAGGUGGUGAGAAAGAAAUUCCACUUCACGAAAACGUUUUGCAGAAGCAUGCUGCUUUCUUUGACAAGAACGACGAUGGUGUCAUUUAUCCAUGGGAAACUUUUCAAGGUUACUUUCCUCACUAAUGAUUACUAUAAUUUUAUAUAUAUAUUUUUUAAUAUAUAUUUUAUAUAUAUUUCCUAAUACUUUAGGGGUUCAUUUGGUUUGAUUUUUUAAUUUUUUUCUCUGUUUAUCUUUUAUUUAAUUUUAAAAAAUCAUUUGAUUUAUUUUGUUAAAUUGAUAUUAAUCCAAACAUUUGUUCUCUUUUAUUUUGCUUAUCACAUCUUCAUCUUGAUAGAUAAUAGUAUUAAUAUGAAAGAGACAAAUUAACUUCUUCUUUUUUUUUUAAAUAAAAUGGAAACUGAACUGAGGAGUAAUUGUUAUUUAAGAAAAGAAAAGUAAAAGAUGGCAUUGUGUUGACAUUUCAAUUAUGAUAUCCUAUUUGAAUGAUAUAAGUUUAAUGUAAAUUUUUAUUUUAAUAAUUUAGUUUUGGAAUUCUAGUUUAGUCUUUUUUUAGUUAAAAGAUAAAAUAAAGAAUAUUUAAUUAAUAAUUUCAUCUUUAUAUUUAAAUCUAAGUUUCAUUUUGUUUUUAUAUAUUUUUAACUUAAAUAAGUCUUAAUAUUUUUUAAAUAAAAUUGAAUUAGUCUUUAUUAUUAAUUUGUUAUUAGUUUGAAUAUCCCGUAUUAAAAUCUAAGUUAUAUUUUAUCUUUAAAUUUUAGAAUAGUUUUUAAAAUUUUAAUAUGUAUCACUUUCUAUGAGAUUAAAGUAAAUUUAAUAGAAAAAAUCAAAUUAAUUUUAUUUAAAAAUUUUAAGAUUUAAUUGUCUAAAAAAUACAUAAAUAUCAAAAUGAAUAAUAAAUCUAAAUAUAAAAACCAAAUUAUAAAUUAUGCUGUAUAGAGAAUGAUAAAGUAAUUUCUUUAUUAUUGUUAUAAAUUAUUAUUUUGACACAUUAAUUAUUUGAGAAAAAUAUAAAAAGUAGAAAUUUCAUAUAAAUUUAAUAUUAUUAACAAAUUAAUUAAUUUUCAAUAAAUGUGAACUAGGUAGAUGCAUCUCAUGUUUGAUUGAAAAGAAUAUUAUUUUAUCAUUGUCAGUAUUUCAGUGUAGAAGUUUCCGAGGUUUUAGCAUUACUGCAUUUUAAAAUUUAGUUAAAUUAUUAUGGGUUGAUGUUUAUGAUUUUUAUUAUUAUUUUAUAAUUAAUAAUAAUUAUUAUAAAUAUUAUCAUAGACUAUAACACGUAGAUAAUAUUUAAAUAUUGUUAAAAAAUAUUAUUUAAAUAUUAUUAUCCUUAAAAAUUUUAUUAUGAUUAAAUCCAGGGUUACGUGAAAUUGGAAAUGGAAUAUUUUCUUCGGUUGGACUUUCUCUGUUCAUCCAUUUGGGUCUUAGUCAAACUACUCGUCCAGUACUUUUCUUUAUUCCUUAAAUUAUUUUUUUUAUUUUCUUAAAUUUUUAUUUAAGAAUAAAUCCUUAAAAAGAUUUUCUUAAUUUUCUUAGGGAAAGUUUCCAUCCUUACUUUUCCCAAUUGAGAUUAAGAACAUCCAUUUGGGAAAACAUGGCAGUGACACUGGAGUCUAUGAUACUGAAGGAAGGUGGGUAAUUAUUUUUAAAAAUAUUAUUUGACACAUUAAAAUUUUUAUAUUUAUUUGAUACUAUAUUUUUUAUAUAUAUUUUUUAAAUAAAUUAUAAAAUUUAUAUUUUUAUGACUAUUUUAUUUUUAUACAAUAUAUCGUAUAUCAAAUGAAUGUAAAACUGUUUCAUAAUAUCAUUAUACAUUAUUUUCAUACACUAUUCCACAUUUUAUAUUGUGCUUUUAAUUUUUCCACGUAUUGUCGUUAAUUUAUGACAUCUUUUAGGUUUCUUGCUUCAAAAUUUGAAGACAUUUUCACCAAACAUGCACAUAGACAACCAAAUGCCCUUACAUAAAAUGAGCUAAUGCAGAUGAUACAAGCAAAUAGAGACCCCAAAGAUAUCAAAGGAAGGUAUAAAUUUCUCUUUUAAUUUAACAUUAGGGUUAUAUAUUUUUUUAUCUCCAACAAUUACAAAAGAUUGUCUUUUAUUUCUGACUGAAAAACAUUUAACUAUUAUUAUUAUUAUUAUUAUUAUUAUUAUUAUUAUUAUUUUCUAAUAAAAGAAUAUUAACAUGUAUAUAAGAGGAUUGGUGGCUUGGUAGAAUGGAAGAUCCUUUACAAAGUUGCCAAAGACAAGAGUGGUUUACUACAAAAGGAAACAAUCCGAGGUGUUUAUGAUGGAAGCUUGUUUGAAAUGUUGAAAAAGGAACAUUCUACACACACAAAAAAGUGAUUUAUUCUUUAGUUGGUUAUAAUUUUCUUUUUCUAUUAUAUAUAGACACAAUAAUGUGUAAAAGUAAGGAUUUGUUCAUGGUGGUCAAGUUGAUUUUUAAGAAUAUAGGGUCAUAAAAUAUUUUAAUUUAUUUCGAAUUUAGUUUGUCAUUUGAUGUUAAAUGUAUAUAUGUCAUCUAUAAUAUACAUAUACAUUUGGCAUUUGUGGUGAAAAAAGCAAAGUUUUUUUGUCUUUUGGUAUAUAUGUUAAGAUUAAAUUCAUCGUUGUGACGUGUAUACAAUAAAAUAACAAGGAAUUUUUCUUAGUAUUAUUGAACUUCUAAUUAAAGUAAUUAACAUCUAUAAUCAAUUGAUUAAAAGUAAUGUUAUUAUAACAUUUUUUAUUUAUUUUAAACAACCCUUUUUAUUUAUUUUAGAUUCACGCGUAGAUUUCGAACACUUCAAUAAAUUAUAUCAAUUUCCAAAUUGUAUAAUUAUUCAAGAAUGUCUUAAAAACAAUUUUGAGGUGUCAAAAUACAUCAACCAAAAAUACUAAAGUGUGUAUGUAAAUCCUAAUUUUGGGAGUCAUUUAUUCGUAUCAAAGAUUGUUAGAAGUCCCACAUCGACUAGAGAUAAGGCCAAAUUAUAAUAUAUAAAUGAGGUGCAAACCUCACCUUAUAAGCCGGUUUUGUGGAGUUGAAUUAGGCCUAAAACUCACCUUCUAAUAUGGUAUCAGAGCCAUGAUUAGAGUCUAUCCUAGCGAUAGUUGGCAUUCCUACUAAAGCUUUGCAUCCAGCACAAUUUCAAUAUUUGUUGUCCAAGCUGAGCAUUAAAGAUAUAUAUGCCUCCCCUUGAGGGGAUAUUGGAAUUAUUUUAUUCUCUAUUCAUAUCUAUGCAUUUAUGUUCAUAUAUUUUUAUACUUAUAUUCCUCUUUUAUAUUGCUCUGAACAAUUAUGUAUAUCAAUUGUACUCUCUCUUUAUCAUGGAAAGAAAAAUACAAUAUUUCAUUCUUUCUUCUUUUCUAACAUGGUAUCAGAGCUAUGGUUAAAGCCUAUCCUAGCGAGUUCUAAGUGGGCAUUUCUCUUUCUAUUCCACCCGUUGUCGGGCCGCUAUUGGACCACCCAAUUUCUACUAUCACACACGAUAUGUCUAUGCCUCGGCGUGAAGGGGGUGUGUUGGAAGUCCCACAUCGACUAGAGAUAAGGCCAAAUUAUAAUAUAUAAAUGAGGUGCAAACCUCACCUUACAAGCCGGUUUUGUGGGGUUAAGUUAGGCCUAAAACCCACUUCUAAUAAAGAUUAAAAUGUUUCGAAAACACGAUUGAAAAUUUCGUGGAUUUAUAACUUAUUAUAACUUUACAAUAACCAAUAUCCAAUUCUGGACACAAUAUAAAGUGUCAUUACAAAAGUAUUAAACUUCUAAAUAAACAUGAGCAAACCUUUAUAAAACUCUCAUAGAAGAACCUAUCUCUCAUCAAACAUAUUCCAAAAGAAGCAUACCUAUCUAUUCCCGUAUAACAAUACAAGUUAUACGAUCAUCGCCACACACACAAAAAAUAUGGGUGAGCUAACCGUAAAAUCAUCAAAAUACCAAUGCGACAGUUGUAUCUCAAUUGUCAAAUCCUUACCACGCUCCUAUCACAUCAAAUAGCAUCAAUGCAUACUAAGACUAUAACAAGCGAUACAAUAAUAUCUCAUUCAUUCUCUUAAAAGAAUCAUGAUUAACCCAUUAUUAGCUCUACCCAACCUACCCAUUAAAGGAAAACCAUGCCAAUACCAACCAUAUCUAUAACUAUAUGUCUUCUUCCAAACUUCACAACAUCAUUCCUAUUCACCAAAAUAAGACAAUUCGAAUGGUCUUCCACCGCAGCUUCAGAUCUAUCUUCCAUGUUCAAGCUACUCACAUCAGUUCUAAACUCAACAUGAGAUGGAACCCUAUGGACGAGACAUUCAUCCCUUUCUACACCUUUGUAAGAGGAAAGAACAACACUCAAAAUCUCAGUGCCUUCUAUCACCCAUCAUGGAUGAAGAGACUCAUCUCUUUCACCGUCUCUUAAAGACGAAGAGAUCCACCUUUCUACUACCUCGGAAGAGGAAAUGUGUCAACAUUUCUACCCCCACUACAAGAAAAAAUGGUUAUUACUUACCAAAUUUAUGUACGGAUUUUUAUCCGUAUGUAACAUGGGUAUUACAUACGGAUCUUGAAAAGGGAGUUACAUACAAAUUUUACAUACAGAUAUAUCCGUAUGUACCUUUCACGCGUGAUGGCAGGAGAGUUUCUUAAGGACGAGAUCCGUAUGUAAGUGCUAUAAUCCGUAUGUAAGUGCUAUAAUCCGUAUGUAAGUAGAAGCAGGUGUUACCUACCGAUCUUACAUACAAAUCUGGAAAUUAUUUUUUUUACAAAAAAAUUGAAAUUAGAUUUCAUUAAUUCAAAGUUUUGUUUUUUUUUUUGGAAUAGUCACUCGAGCUGUGUUCUCUUAAAUAUCUCUCAAACCCUAACUCUGUACUCUCCACACUAAUUAUCUCAAAUGUCUCUGCAACCCUAACUUCAACUCUCAACUCUCCACACACUGAUUCUUUAAAAUGUCUCUGUAACCCUAACUUCAACUCUCCACUCUCCACGCAGUCAUUUUUUCAAAUCUCUCUCGAACCCUAACUUCAACUUUCCACCCUCGACGCACUAAAACACUCGAGCUGUGUUCGGGCAAAAUUUUUUCCCCUAAAUCUCCUUGUGCUUCGUUGAGGAAUCUGGUUCAACAUUAAGGUUUGCCCUCCAUGAUUCGGUGGAGAUCAUGCACUGAAACUCUUGUCUCUCAAACGCACUGAAACGUUGAAGUUUGUGUUAUUGUCCAAAGCUGUUUUCCUAAAUCUCGUUGUGCCUCGUUGGGGAAUCUCGUUCAACACCGUUCUUUCGCCUUCGUGGUUUGGUGGAGGUCUUUGUUAGGGUGACGCUAAGACCUUCAUCCGGUAAGUAAUCCUUUCUUCCUUCAUUUUUGUAGUAAUUUCUAAUGCUAGUAAUUCAUAAAAUCGAAAAAGGGUCGAACCUUAAUUUGUGUUUAAUUUUUUUAAUUGGGCCAUUUUUGGUUUGACAUACAAUAUGUAAUUGGAUUGUUACCACGGCUCGAUUGAGGCGGUUGUGUUACGGUUGAAGGGCUGAGAUAGAUAACAAUUGUUCUUGCGAAGGCUCUUAUUGAAGGAACCAGAAAAAAAGGUUUUUCUACUUUCCUCUAUUCGUUGCUUUUCUAUCACAAAAUGUUCUUAAGAAACCAAGAAUAUGAGAUUACAUAUUAUGUUAUUCAUGCAUAUUUGGACAUUGAAUCUUCUUAAAUAAAUUUGUGUUUGAAACUAUAUUGUUCAUAUACUCUCCAUAGAAAAAAAACUCCCCUUUUCUUUUAUUCCUAUUUUUCUUUUUAAAAAAAAAUAAUUCUAAGUAUGUUGUUUUUGUUGGAAAAUGCUAGUUCGUGACAUUAGCGUUUGUCAUUAACGUUUUAAGAAUGUUAUAUUUUUACUUUUUGCAAGGUUUGUCUUUGCUUUCCUUCUUUUGUUCCUUUCUCUUUGUUUUCGUUACAUUGUAAUAUAGGGCUAGAGGUGUGAAUUUAAGGUUUUAUGAUUUAAGGUUUAAGAUUUAAAGUUUAGAGGUUAGGAGUUAGGAUUAGGAUUUAGAAUUUAGAGUUUAUGGUUUAAGAUAUAUGGUUUAGGGUUUAAGGUUUUAAGUUUAUUACACUAUGUAUAGAUUGAAUUAAUAUAAAUUUGUGAUUUUCAUUUUAUUUUGAAAUUCAUAUCAUGUAUUAUGAAUUAUAUAUAGAUUUACUUUUACAUUUGUUUUCGAAUUUGAGAGAAUUAUUGUAAUGUUUUCAAUUUUUUUUUAAAUAAAUAUGUGUACAAUUUGAAAUAUAAAAAAAAUAUUCAAGUUCAUUACUAAAACUUCAUAAGAAUUAUAAAAUUAUAAUGUCAAUUCUUACAAUGUGAAAUUAUAAUGUCAAAGAAUUAUUACAAUUCAUACACGUUGUUUAAGUUAAAACUACGUAAAAAAUUAUGAAGGCUAUCAUAAUUUUGUUAUAAAUGUACGUUGCAAUUUAGAAAGCUAAAAAAUAAAUUGAUAAAUUACAUGAAAGAGCAGGUUACAUGAUACGAAUGUUUUAUGCCCAAAUUGUUUGUAUAAAUAAAAAGGUAGCAAUUCUAAAACGAAACGCAAACACCAACACUCAUACUCAGCAUGUUUAGUUUCGUCCUAAUAAAUACAAUUAAACAAUGCGAUAUCAAGUGGGAAAACCUUCUUUUAUGAUUCUAUGAUAACAAAUAAAGAAAAAAUAGGUUUGAAAUGUGUACCUAUUGUCUAUAACAUAAUAAGAAAUGACGUCUAAGUAAAUUAUUAAAUUGGGUUCAAUAAACAAAACAAUUAGCCUCAAAAUUCAUUCAUUAAAGAGGCUAAUGUGCAGCAAACAUUGGAAACGAACAAUAAUUUCCUUUUUAAGCAAUUCUACUUUUUCAAAAAACAUUAAGUUGUUUAUAUAAACAUGAUAUAAAAAUAUUAAUUUAAAUAUAAUAAAAUUAUAACAUAUUAAAUUAUAAAAUAUAUAAUUUUAUAUAUUUAUAUAAAUGAUAUUGUUUUUAAAAGUUAAUUAAAGUUUUAUAAUACACUAGUACAAAAACAACAUAUAACGUCGAAUAUUUUUUGCCUUUCAUGUCGAAUUCGAUAACGACGUUAAAUUGACGUCGAAUUUAAAAAAUUCGAUGUUAAUUUAACAUCGAAUUUUGUCAAUAUACGAUGUUAUUUAACGUCAAAUUUUGUCAAUAUACGACGUUAAAUAACGUCGAAUUUUGUCAAUAUACGACAUUAAAUAACGUCGAAUUUUGUCAAUAUACGACGUUAAUCAAUUCUUUUUUUUAAAAUAAUUAUGAUCCUCUUUUACAGCUUCACGAAACCUGAAAGCCGAAAAAACAACAAUUUUCAGUUUUUGGUAUUUUAUAAAGCAUGAACUAUGAAUAGUAAUAUAGGAUCAAUGAAAACAAUAACAAACAACAAAAAAGUUCAAUCAAAUAUCAAACAAUAAUAACAAACAAGUUCAACAAAAUAACAACAACAUCAAACAAGUUCAACAAAAAAAAUAACAAACAAGUUAUCAACAAAUAAGUUCUUCAAAAUGAAAACGAAAACGAAAACAAAAACUAACCUCGAUUCAUCGGAAUAAAGUGUUGCCACAAGUGAGAGAGAAAACAAAAUGUGUUUAUGAAGGACAAGAACACGAAAAUAAUCGGUAAAAACAAACGAAAAUCAUACCUAAAGUAGUUAAUUAACAUGCAUUUGUAUCAAAUAAAAGAAAGAUUACAUGUGAUGGUCGUCAAACUUCGUUUGAAAAAAAGUAUGAGCAGAGAAAAGGGUCCUGCAUGCUAAGAUAAAGGGAAUGAAUUUUCAAUCUUUCACUCAAUUUUUUUUUUGAAUUCACUAACCUUUUAACGUCUAACGCUGGGGCAUUCGACGUUUUAUAUUCUUUUACGUCGAAUUACAAUUCUAAAUGACGUUUAAUAAUUGUAUUUAUUUACAAAAUUGCCACUAGUCAUUUUUAACGUUGACUAUUGAGUUGUUCGACGUUAAACGCAUGACGUUAUAAGUUGUUUUUGCACUAGUGAUAAGACUAAAUCCACCUUAACCAUAAUUUUAACUCUAACUCACUUGAAAUAGGACCAUGGAAGUUGAAGCUUUUUUUUUCCUCUCCUUGAGGGAACUUUCUAAAAUGUGUUGAACAAGAAAUUCACUUUUCAAAAGUGAAAACUAUAAUGUUUAGGUCCACAUGAAAUAAAAGAUGCUUAAACUAAACUCUUGUUAAAAAUUAUGCUAAAUAGUAAAUAUUAAUUAUUUUAUAAAAUAUAAUAUCAACUUUAUUCCCUCAAACUUAUAAAAUUUAAAUAUAUCGACAUUAAAAUAACAAAAUAGUAAAAUAAUUUAACUUUAUAUCUAAAAAACUUAUGAAAAAUUUAAUAUUAAGAAAAAAAGUCAACAUCACCAUCCGUCCGUGAUGAUUAGUUCGUGAUACUAGCGUUCGUCAUUAACAUUUUCAUAAUGUUUAAGUUUUUAUUUUUUUUAAGGUUUGUCUAUACUUUCCUUUUGUUUGUUAUCCUUUGUUUUCGCUACAUCGUAAUAUAGGGUUAGAGGUGUCAAUUUAGAAAACUAAAAGAUAAAGUUAUACUACAACUGAUAAAUUACGUGAAAGUGCACGUUACAUGAUACCAAUAUUUUAAGCCCAAAUAAACUUGGAAAGUUGUUUUUAUUUAACCUCUAAGAAACUUAGCAGUUCUAAAACGAAAGGCAAAACAAAUACAUAACAAUAAUGGUAUAUGACACACUUUUACGUUUAUUUGACAUAGAAUAUAAUAAUAAAAGAAUAUAAUAAUAAAAUGGAAUAUAAUAAUAAAAGAAUAUAAUAAUAAAAUUGUUAUAAAAGUAUAAAUUUUUAUAUAUUUUAAAAAAAAAAUAAAAGAUAAAAAAAUAAUGUUAAAAAGAUAUAAAAAAUUUAGGUGUGUCAAAAAAUAUUUUUUUAAAUACAAUUAAAUAAUUUUCCACAUUAAAAUAUUUAUUUCAAUGGAUAUGAAUCAUAACAUAAUUAAUCAAGGUUUAUAAUGAAUUUAUUUCAAUGGAUAUGAAUCAUAACAUAAUUAAUCAUAAUCAGAACUUUAUUUCACAAUAUGGUCUACAUAUAUGUAUAUAUAGACUUUUCUGACAUUUAACAAGUUCAAUAGUAAGGAAAAACAACAAAAACACAAUUGGAAGAUUCGUGUUAUUGGGAACUUUAUUUUUGAUGGUAAAGUGGUGUUGUUUGAUGUGUUCGCACUAAGCAAUGCGAUAUUGAUCAAGAACUUCAGCAUUUCUCUUUCCUGUGACGAUUCUGAACUGCCUUAAAUCUUCAUACUUAAAUGGUCGAUAACGAGGAGCAUCGUUACGUUCCGCCAACUUUGGAUGAGCCUCAACAAUGCCAUCCCUUGCUGCUAACAUAAAUACACCAAACGAAUAACGAGUACAUGUUUCAUUGCAAAUUACACGAUGCCUAGCAUUCCAAAAUUUUUCAUUGCUCCAAACCUGUCAGAAAAAAAAGGUAUGUUUAUUUUCAAGAUAUUAAUGUAAUUAAUUCAAAAGAAAGAAAAUAAAAGUUAUUGUUAAUCUAUGCUAUGCUCACACGUCCAACAUCUCCAACAAUGCAGAGCAAGGACCCUGGUUUGGGAGUCACUACUUUGAAUAAACCAGAAUCAUCCAACAGCUCAAGACCACUGACAGUUUCAUCAUCUUGAAUUAGAGUGAUAAAUCCUGUAUCUGAGUGCAACAUUACUCCAAUUUCACCUAUAUUUUCUGGGCUGAAAUUGUAUUUAAUACUUCUUAAAAUGAAAGGCCAGUCCUUGAAAUCAACAUCCUCUAUACCCAAAGACUUUCCCAUCUCUUUUGCUAUAUUUGAUGCCAACUCAUGAAUUGCUUUCCCAUAUGACUUUACUAUUUUCCUGUCAUGUAAACAAAUCUAUACAUUAUUUAAAUUGAAAUAAUGCCAAAAAUACUUAAUAUAAUGAUUGGUGUACUGUAUGACCAUCCGAUCAGUCGUCGUCUGAAUGGAACGAACAAUUUUGAAUAUUUUGAGUAAGGGAUCUUAACCCUACCCGAAUUAAUCGGUUUGAUUAAUGAAAAGGUUUUGUAAAUGGGGUGAGAUAAAGAGAGAGGUUGAAGAAAGGAACCUGUAAUGGGGUGGUAAAUCGAGCUGGGAGAAGAAAUCUUCAAGUGCCUGUGGUGAUUUAUGAAAGUCAUAUAUCGCCAUGGCCUCAUAUAGAGGACUUGAUGGAUGCGGUGGAAUAUAACCACUAUCAGGAAUUAUGGAUUUGUUGCGCAUUUUUAUCUCUAAAGGAAGAUCAUGCAUGAAUUUGACCACUGAUUUCAUCUCUAUCAUCAGUGUUUCUGGAAUAGGAUGGUUGAUGACCCUUAAAAUACCAUAUUUCUCACAUGCUUCUCUUAGCUUCUUCAACUCCUCUCCCUCUGAAAGCUUCUCAAAAUCCACCUCAGGAACACUAGCCUCCAUCUCUUUCUCUUUCACCUUCUUCUUCUUGAUCCUUUGCCUUGGAUAUCACUCAGUUUUUCAGAGCGGAAGAAUUAGUUAACUCACUAAUAUAUAUACACUGACGAAUGAGUCUUGCCUCGGUAAAAUUAGUGCUAAUAAAACAGGUCAUUAAGCCGGUGUUGAUCAGUUACUGAACUAAUCUAAUCUAAUUUAUUUAUUAAUUUAUUUAUUAAUAAGUCAAAAAAAUUCGAAUCGGACUCGAUCAAUCACAAAUUAGUGGAUUAAACGGAUUGACUCACUAGUUCAAUUAAUUAUUAUUUUUUUUAAAUAAAAAAUAAUAAAAUAAAAUUAGAUGGAUUGGUGAGUCAACCCUGAUGAAUCGAGUUUAAAUAAAUCGAGUUUAAAUGAAUUGAGUUAAAAAUUAAUCUGCAUAAAAAAAUGGGUUAAAUAUGUUUUUAGUCCCUAUAUUUUGGGCGAUUUUGGUUUUAGUCCAUUUUCAAACUAUGGUACAAUUUAGUCCUUCAACUUUAGAAAACUCUGGUUUUAGUCUUUUUUACCAAUUUUUUUUAACUUUAUUUGUUGUUUCAAACACGUUUCAUUAUAGCAUUUGGAUUGUUUACACUGUUUGANNNNNNNNNNNNNNNNNNNNNNNNNNNNNNNNNNNNNNNNNNNNNNNNNNNNNNNNNNNNNNNNNNNNNNNNNNNNNNNNNNNNNGUAGUCGGAUUAACCCAUGAAUUGUAAUCCAUAUUUUUUUCAAACUUAACCUGACCCGAACCUGUGGUAGUCGGAUUAACCCAUGAAUUGUAAUCUAUUUUGAGAGCCCUACCUUGUUAAUGUUAAGAUUUUGAAAAUUUCAAGACAUAUAUGUAAAUUUAAUAAUUCAUUAUAUUUAAAUUUUGAAAAAUAUGAAUGCGAUUAUUAGAGAUAUGUAAUAGGUCGGGUAUGAUUGAAUAGUGGUAAAAAACUUUGAUUUAAUGUAAAAUUUUAAGUUAAAUAUAAACAUGAAAUAAGAAAGUUAUUUUUAGAUAACUUAAGGUCUAAAUUAUGUUAUUUUGAAAAAAAUAUAUUUUUUUCUAAUAAACAAUUCAUAAUUAAAAUUUUGAAAUGGUUAUUCGUGAAAUACAGGCAAACAUGCUAAAUUCAUAAACUGUAUAAAAUGAAUAUGAAUUUUCUAAAUUUGAAUCUAUUUAGAGUGAUAUUUAAUAUUUAUGGAUGUGAUUGGCUUCUUAUAUAUGGUGAAGGCAUCAUCAGAUGUGAGAUGAAAUUGACACAGAAUAGUCUACAUCAAUUUGGUAUUAAUUAAGUUUGUUUUACCUUACGAAGAAUUCAGGUAUGAAUUGGAAUCUUAAAUUAAAUACAAAUGGAUAAAAUAAAUAAUAUACAAAAAGAUAAUAUUUAUAUAUCUAUUAUUUUGAUAUUUUGAGUUUAAAGUAAUAUUUUCAAUUUCUAUAUAAUUAUAUUUAUAAUUUAUUCUAAUAUAAUCUUUUUAGUAUUGGACAAAGUUGUUAUUUUUAGUUGUUGGAAUUGGGAAUCAAAAACAAAAAUCUCUUCAUGAUCGAGAAUGUAGAAUCCAACUUGUUUUCCUAGUGAAAAAAAUUCAACACAUAUGAAGCACUUGUUUAAUUCAACUUUGCUUUUACUUAUUUUUGGAACAAUAAUUUAAAGUAAAAACUAUAUGAUAAAUAGUCGUGGCAAUUACAUUGAAAUAUUAAUUUUUUAAAUAAAACAUAAUAUUAUUAAGUUUUUAAUAUCAAAAUGAUAUACUUUUCUUUUUCUUUUUCCUCUAGUAUCAAAUACAAAAUAAUUAUACAAAUAUCAAAUAACAGUGUCAAAUGGAAAUUAAAUAAAUGUCAAAUAACCAUAUAAAAUAGUAAAUAUAACAAGAUAUGUAUUUUAAAAAUAAAUUACUAAAAUUAAGGACUAAAGAAAAAUUAAUAUAAAUUUGAUAUAUUACAAAAUAAAUUAAAUUAAAAAUGUUAUAAUAAUUAAAAUGGGAAUAAGUAUUAGAUGAGGGUGGGAUGAGACAAAUAUAAACAUAUACUUCUCUUCAUUGUGUUCCUACUUAAUUUAAAAAAUCAAGUAUACUGAUAUUUAAUACAAAACAAUUUCGUCAAAAUUGGAAUACGUUCGCAAAAUAUCUUUUUAAUUUGAUAUUCUAAUUACUAAGAUUGUUUAUUUUAUUUUUAUAAUGUCAUCGAAUGAUAAAUAAUAUUCUCCGGGUUUCAUAAGUGUCAAUUUUACCUUUUCAGGCAAACUUUAUAACUAUAUAUAUAUAUAUAUAUAUAUAUAUAUAUAUAUAUAUAUAUAUAUAUAUAUAUAUAUAUAUAUAUAUAUAUAUAUUUAGAUUAUUGAUUUUAUGAUAAUUAUUUUAAAACUUAUAGUGUUUAUCUGUUAUUUAAUCUGCUAUGAAAAAAAAUCAUUUAUUAGUUAUUCUGUUAUUUGUGAGAUAUCUAUUUAAAAUAUGAUAAAUUAAAAACUAGCCUUUGUUUUUUGUUUUCCGCUAAUAAUGUUCUAAUUUUUUUUCUUUCCUUUGUAAGAAGAAAAAGGCUUUGUUUUUUUUUUUUUUUUUUUAUGUUUUAUUUAAGUGACCUCUCUUUCUAACUAUUUUACCCUCUAGUUCAUUAUAUAUAUUUCAAGUGAAAUUUGGACACAUAAGCUACUAGUAUUAAAGUUUUUAAAUAAGAUCUCUACUCUAAAGUAAGGUUUCAAUGUCUUGCACUCGACGACAGAAAAUGAAAAACAUUAAAAAUGAAUGGUGACAUUUUUAUAAAUUUCAAUUUAAACUUGAAAUUUAUACUUUUUCGACGUUAUAUGUUCAUUAGACGUUAGAAUUCUCAAUUUUUGACGUCAUAUUAGAUAAAUUUCACAAAAAUCUUUGAUGCGACCAACACAUGUAAUCUGUCUUUCAUUUUACACAAAUGUACGUUGAUUAACUACUUUAGGUAGGUUGAUUUCGUGCACAGGUACUCUUUGGAACAUUGACGCAUUCUUCUUUAUUGGUUGCAACACUUUAUUCCGGUGAAUCCACCUUCAAAAAUGUUAAUCUCGUUUUCAAUUUUUAUGACCUAUAAAUUGGUUGAACUUGUUGGUAUUGUUGAUAUUAGUAUUGUUGAACUUGUUUGUUGUUCAUACACUGUAUACAUCCAAACUUAGGGUAAAACUGAUAGUAUAUUCAAAACAACUUCAAAUGAUUUGAAAUUUUGUUCAAAGCAUAAAAUAAAAUGACAAGCCCCCAUAAAAAAAUUUAUACCAAAAUUCAAAGUCUAAGUAUGUGAGAUAUUUUUGGAAAGUUUGAAAAAAACAAAAUAAAUUGACCAAAAAUAGAAAACGACAUUUUUUUUAAAUAUAGAAAAAACAAAAACUACGAUCGUUUAAAGAUCUAUCGCAAUUGAUUUUUUAAAUAACUUUUAAACUUCACACAGACUCAAAGUAAGGGCUCACGGGGUUUUCCCAUGAAAUAGAGGUUCUAAGGGGUGGUUAAAAAACAUUUCAACCAAAAAAGUAACCAAAGUUAUCAAAACCAAAAGUCACAAGUUAAUAUACACUACUAUUCACUACAACACCAUUCACUUGUGAUAACAUUUAUUUAUAGUUCAUAUAAAUUUGAAAGUGAGUUCUAGAUAUAUGAAAUGCCAAAACUAGGCUACAUUUGUCGGUUUUCUGCUUUUUCAAGUUUGGUAAAGUUGUAAAAAUGAAUCAAUGUUUAUUAAUGAAAACAAAGGAGAUGAUUGACGUUGGAAAAUAACAAAAAAAGGAUGUUAAUUAACAUCAGAAAAUGUCAAUUUUCGAUGUCAAAUAAUGUCAGACAAUGAUUAUUUUCGACGUUAAUCAGCAUUGGAAAAUAGUCAUUUCCGACUUCAAUUAAUGUUAGAAUUAAUGUCAGACAAUGACUAUUUCCAACGUUGAUUUCGUGCACAUGUACUCUUUGGAGCAUAGGCGUAUUCUUCUUUAUUGGCUGCAACACUUUAUUCUGGUGAGCCCACAUUCAAGAAUGUUAAUCUCGUUUUUGUUUUUUAUGGGCUAUAAUUUAGUUGAACUUGUUGGUAUUGUUGAUAUUAGUAUUGUUGAACUUGUUUGUUGUUUAUACACCGUAUACAUCCAAACUUAGGAUAAAAUUGAUACUAUAUUAAAAAAAACUCCAAAUGAUUUGAAAAUUUGUUCAAAGCAUAUGACAAGCCCCACAAAAAAGUUUAUACCAAAAUUCAAUGUCUAAGUAUGUGAGAUAUUUUUGGAAAGUUUGAAAAAAAACAAAAUAAAUUGAUGAAAAAUAGAAAACAAAUUUUUUCUUAAAAUCUAGAAAAAACAAAAGUUAUGAUGGUUUAAAGAUAUGUUGCAAUUGACUUUUCAAAUAAUUUUUUAAAACUUCGUAGAGACUCAAAGUAAGGGCUCAUGGGUCCCCUGAAAUAGGAGUUCUAAAGGGUGGUCAUAAAUAUUUCAAUAAAAAACAAUAACCAUAAUUAUCAAAACCAAAAGUCACAAGUUAAUAUACAUUAUUGUUCACUAUAACACCAUUCACUUGUGAUAACAUUUAUUUAUAGUUCAUACAAAAUUAUGGAUAUAUGAAAUGCCAAAACUAGGCUAUAUUUGUUGGUUUUCUGUUUUUUCAAGUUUGGUAAAGUUGUAAAAAUGAAUCAUUGUCUAUUAAUGAAAACAGAGGAGAUGAUUGACGUUGAAAAAUAACAAAAAAAAAAAAAAGAUGUUAAUUAACAUCAAAAAAUGACUAUUUUCGAUGUCAAUUAAUAUCAGACAAUAACUAUUUUGAAUGUUAAUUAGCAUUGAAAAAUAAUCAUUUCCAGCUUCAAUUAAUGUUAGAAUUAAUGUCAGGCAAUGACUAUUUCCAAUGUUAACAUUUCCGACUUCAAUUAAUGUCAGAAAAUGAUAAUUUUCGAUGUUUUUUUUUUUGUUUCCCACAUCAAUUAUCGUCUUCCUUUAUAAUGUUGAUGUUUUUCCAUAUGUUAAAGAGGUAAAAAAUAAUGUCUUUUUUAUACUAGUAGAAAACUUUGACUAAAUAACAUAGACAAAAUAAUUAUCGGAGGCUACGAUAAAUUUCUCAUAAAUUUAUAUUGCAAUUUAGAAAACUAAAAGAUAAAGUUAUACUGUAUGUUACCGAUAUUUUAAACCCAAAAAAACUUUGGAAAGUUGUUUUUAUUUAAUGUGACGUCCCAAUUAUAUAGAAAAGAAAUAUAUAAAUAAGACGUUAUCAUGCAUAAUAAUUGAAAGUAGUUAGAGAAUAAUAGAAGUGCUUACAGUCAUCCUUAAACAAUACAAGAAUCUAGAAUUGAAGUAUCAUAGACCUCUUGUAAAAACACUAGGAAUUUAAAACUUUAAAAACAUGAUAAAGUUCUUCAGAAUAACUUGAGUAUAACAAGGCCUAAAGAACUAAGUUGCAACAUCUCUGCUUCCUUCCAAGGCUGUCUCCAAAGUAACCUCCUCGCCAUCUGCUCCCAUCCAAGUAGAUGAUCAUCGCAAAAGAAAACACAUACAACAUGGCACAGACACAAACAAAUGCAAGGAUGAGCUAAUUAUAUAAAAAACAUGCAAUUAUACCAACAUGAACAUACCAGAUUCAACCCAAGUAAAGUAUAUACAAGCAAGGAAAUAUAUACAACACAGAUCCUAGCAUAUUAUCUUCUAGACUUGACUCGUCCGGACUUUAGAAUGAUAGUCGAGCUAUGACGGGUCAUGCACCCGUGGUGGCUUGUGAUACUUAGGCUCCCCCGCCCUGGGCUCCCCCACCCUACCACACUCACGAGGUUAGUCUGUUCCACGCCCUGGAGCAUGAUGGAAACCUCCAAGACUAAGACCUCCUGCUACUCCUCACCACCUGGUUUCGUCUUCUAUACGUGAGAAGAAAGACCAUUGGAGCGUCAGGAAGACCCCCAAGACCGAGCUCUUACUUUCGUUCUAAAACACUAAGAAUCUCACUUAGAGAUUCUACAUUUGAAACUACCAUAAGCAAGCAUGAAAUCAUGUUUCAGUCUUUCCCAAUUCACACACCUUUGAAUUAUAAUCAAACAACAUGUUUAAGCCUUAAAGAUCAAGUCAUAUGUACCGGAACAUGCUCCACAACCACUUCCAAUAAUCUCAAAUAAACAACAUUGUCAUGUUAUCUCAAUUACACUACAAAACUCUACAAUCUCUUGUAAAAUAAUACAUCCCCACAGGUAAAACUUAAUAUCAUACGUAACCUUUACUACUAAUUUUCUAUAAAACAAUAUUAUUUUAAUAUAACUUAUUAUUAUAUUUACUCUCUUGCAUCUCUUAUAUAUAAUAUAUUAAUAUAAUAUAUCUCAUACUUUCUUUUAUAUAUAAAUAUUAUGAUAACAAUUUAUAUCAUAGGUACUUCCCUGCAUCUUAUAUAUCCCUAUUAUAUUAAUAUAAUAUAUAUCAUGCUUUCCUAACUUAUAUUUCCAUAUUAUUUAAUAAUAUAUAUAUAUAUANNNNNNNNNNNNNNNAUAUAUAUAUAUAUAUAUAUAUAUAUAUAUAUAUAUCAUGCGUUUCAUAUUAUAUUAAUAAUAUAUGUAUAUAUGUAUCAUACUAACCUAACUUCUAACACCCCAAAUUUGUGAUAUGCACCUAUUUAAACUUAUCUAGAUGUAUUUUACCAAUUAUACAGUAAUUCUAAAGUUGUUUAGGCUUGAAUUUAACUUCAAAACACCGCAUCCUAUGACUUAUGAACUAUAAUUCAAUUCUGCCAUUUUUAAUGUGUUUUUGUUCAAUUUUAUCUGCCUAACAAGUCACAAUUGACUUGUCUAAACUGCCCAAACAUACCAAAUGCACUCAUUACCCUAAAUGCACAAAAUCACCAUCCAAAUAGCUUACAUUGCUCCCUUAAUUAUGAAACUGCCUGCUAAAUUAUUUAACACUACAAAGUGCUUACUCCCAACCUCACCUCACUACCCAAUUGGUCACUGGAGAAGGUUCAGAUGUCUGAACGCAUCAGACUCACCUUCGGCGUUAGCAUAUAUGACUAGUCACAACUGACUGGACUAGGCCAGAGCUGCUCUAUGAUCAGGGAUGUGCCAACUCAGGUUUUUAAGUCUCCUCUAUCCUACCAACAAAGAAAGUCCCUCAAAAAGUUAUAAUUGCUUUAUUUGAGUUAUAUAAACUAGUUUGUUGUGCUUUAAACCUCAAACGCCCAAUUUUUAUAUUUUACCCCCUUCUCAAAGAAAUCUGAAACAACACCCAUGCACCCUAUUAGUACCCAUAGCAAUGCUAGUUAAAGUCUCACCCACGACCUUCCCAAAACAAGUCAAUCACAUUAAAUACUCAUUCCAGACAAAUUACAUUCAUCAAUAAUAUACAUGAAUCAUUCACAACUCAUAAUUUGUGCAAUCCAGUUCAUACCACACCAAAUACUUAAAACAGUAACAAUACAUUCUCAACAGUACAUCAUAUUUUUUUUUUUUAAUUCAACAUGCAUAAAACAUUAAACAGAUUCAACCAAGAAAAUAAUUAGCUCUCCUUACACACAUGUCCAUUCCCAUAAUUUACAUGUAUAAUUACAGUAUCAUAACACAUACCCCUCAAGCACAAAAUAUGACAUUUAAGACGAACAAAAAUAUUGUUUCAAAAAUUAACCUACAUACGUAUCAAACAAACCAUUUAAAUAUAUAAUCAGCUCCCCUUACCUAGAAAGCUUAACAGUAACUUGUCAAGAACGUCCUAGGAUCGUACCCACACCGCGUUGACCUUAUAGAACCUACAAAUCACCAAAUUGGUGAUAGAACAUAGCUCUCAGAGCGCGAAUGGACAGAGAAGUGGAACUCUAGAAACGAUUUGGUAGCACCCUAGUAAACUUUGAACGGUUCAAAGUGUUGAAAUUUUAGACAGAAGUCAGAGUCUCAAGGUUAGGGCAAGGUUCUUAGAGAAAGAAAAGAAAUUUGCAAAAUGAGAAACUGUUUUCUGAAAAGAAAGACACCUCUCUAAGACUGACACUAUAAACUUAUGAGCUUGGCUGUUCCAAUCCAUAAGGUCCAAUGGCCCUAAAUUUAUUUUCUGACAUUUAACCUCUAAAAAACUAAAAAAAGUAGCAAUUCUAAAACGAAAGGCAAACAACAAGAAUCAUACUCAUGCAUGUAUAGUUUCCUCCUGAUAAAUACAAUUAAACAAUUCUCCACGUUAAAGGCACAUAAUGUUUUAUGUAAGAAACAAUACGAUAUCAAGUGGGAAAGCCUUCUUUUUAUGGUUCUAUGAUAACAAAUAAAGAAUAUGAAAAGUGUACUUAUCAUCUAUAUGACGUCUAAGUAAACUAUUAAAUUUGAUAUUCAUUUGACACACUUUAAAAUAAUUUUAAAAGAAUAAAUUUUUGUAAUUUUUUGAAAAAUAAAAAAAUAAAAAGUAAGAAAAAAUAGCGUGAAGUGAAAAUAAAAAAAUUAUGUAUUAAAAUAUAUUUUUUAUUAAAUUGGGAUCGAGAAACAAAAUGUGAAUUAAGACAUCAUUGUUCAUUCAUUCUGGAAGGCUAGUGUGGAGCAAACACUGGAAACGAACAAUAAUUUCCUUUAUACGCAAUUUCAUUCACAUUAUUCAUGUAAUUAAGAAACUCUAUAUGAUAAAAAAAUUUAAGUUCUUUAAGUAAAAAUUCCUUUUUCUUUCAGACGUAAAUGCAUUCUGUAUUUUGUGGUUAAUAAAAGCAUCAUGCCAUCAAUCUAAUCCUUAAUUAAUCAUUCAUAAAAAGUUUGUUAGAUCCCAAAUAGGUUUCAAUUCCUUGAUUCCACGUUUACUUUUCUUCUUGCAUCUUAUCAGUAUCCCUCACAAAUGUUAAGGUUCCAUUAUGAUGUUGAAUGUACUUAAAUAUAUGAUCUGCAUGUAUGGUAAACUUUGUUUUGUUCAACUUUGAAAUGAUUGCUCUCAUGUAUGCAAGGUAUAACUUUGUGUAUGAUAUCUGUUGCAAUACACACUCAACUGACAGAUAUUGAAGCAGAUCUUCAUGAUCUUUUGGAGUUACCCUCGAGUUCUAUGUCUGUUUUCUGAUUUUGAAAAGUACAUUCUGCUCUUUGGAUAAAUUCUUUUCUAAUUUAUCAAAUUUUAAUCAAUUUUAACAAAACAUUAUGUGAAAUUCCAUGUCUAAUCGCUGUUUUCCAAAUUCCAUGUCUUUUUAUAAAACAAUUUUAGCAAUACUUUCCACCACAAAAUUCAUGAUAUUUAUAUGAAAUGUGACCCAGUUGGGGUCUCUGUGGGAUAUAUAGGUAUGGGGUUUAAUGAUAAGGUAUUAAUUAAAGAUAUUAACUAUUAAAUAUAGUAGAUAUUCCAUGUCUAAUCAAGGCUCUUUGUUAGCAUAGGUAUAUGAUUUAUGUUGUUUGCAUUUAGCGGUGGGGGAGUGAGUUUGAUUGUAGUUUAGUUUUUGGAAAAGAGUUUUAAAUGUUGAGAGAUUAGUGUAGCAGUCUACUUUGUAUGCAGUCUUUCCCUAGUGUUAGGGGUCUGGGCUGCACUGCUUUAAUAUAGCUUAGGAUUUCUAUGUGUGAGAGUCUGAUCUAUAGUUUUGUGAAUAAGUCGUCACAGAGUGGAGUGUCAAGGUAGGAUUAAGUGAGAAGUUUAGAGGUUGUUUCUACAAUGUGUAAUGUUCAGUCCGUGAGAGAAUAUCAAUGCAUCACAACCCAGUGCAAUGUCUUGUGAGUAAGCCAUGAGAUGAGUAAAAGGUAGGGAGAAUUCCUAGAGCAUAGAAGUAACAAUUCACAAUCAUCCAUGGCAUCAUGCAUCAAUUAGUCAAACACACUCAUCAAAACAAAAUUAUCACUAAACAACGAUUUCAAAAUAUAAAAAAAUCAAUUGAACAUCAACCUUUCAACCUAGCAACCACAAUUCAUUCUUCAUAAUUAAAAAAAUAAAGAAAUCAUUAACUUCCCUUACUUGUUAGAAGACCAAACGACUCGAAAAACCCCUAAACAAGUCUCAUAGAUAAAUGGACAUCAAUUGCACCUACAAACAACGAAAUCAUGAUCAAGGUAUGCCAUUAGGAUCACUGAUCAGUAGAGAGUCUUAUAGAAUAUUCAAACUUAACAUGCAAAACAAAGAACGCUAGCAUGUAGGGAAAAAUGAAACUGGCCAAAGAAAGGAGCAAAAAGAUAACUUACUCUAUUGAAAAACCAAUCGGUUAGACUUGAAGAUCUCAUCGUUGUGAUCACUUGGGCGGUCUCUGUUCUUCAAACAGAUGCUCACAGGAAAAUAACUCUUAUAAAGAAGUCAGAAAACUCUAGAAAAGUGGUUUCUAAAGAGAUUUGUGUUUUAAAAUAACGAAUCUAGUUUAUAACGAAACUAUUUAUAUUAAAACCUUUGAAUAUUAAAAUAAUUUAGUCUCCACAUAUUUAAACUACUACCAUUUCUAAAAUACUAUUUUCUAAGUCUUUACUUUCUUCCCAACAAGAAAAACUUUCGUCCUAAAAAAUUUACUCCUUAGAUGGAAAGAAAAGUAUUAUCUUUAACUUUACUCUUAUCACAACCACCUAGUUUGACCGAGUUACUACUCGCAACAACUUGACUACCUCUGUGUUAAAUGCUCUAGUGAUCAAUAAUGUAGAUUGUCAUAACCCCUACUCUUAAAACAACUUCUCAACCUCCAAACCUCUGCUUUAAGGAUUCUUUUUACGCCUGAUCAACCAAUUUGCAUCUACCAAACUCAAUUCACCUUCCAUUAGUCUUCCACUACCGUUUGUAAACUCCUCCUUAAACUUUAGCUAGUCGACAUCAAUUUAACAUCUAACUGAUAUCACUUCACUUUUUCUUGCUCCCUCUUUGAAGUAUCAAACAACUGACUUGAUCAUACACAACUUCUGAUCUACUACCAAGUGUUAACACUCAUGAUCAUCCUUAAUCACAACCACACAUUUCCUUAUUGAUCUUCACCUUUGACUAACACAAUCCUCAACUAUGUUAUCCUCCUACCAAUGUAGAACUCCCAUCCGUUGCAAUGACAAAACCGAUUUGAGCACUUCAUAUUUACUUCUUUCUUCACCAUCUUGAACCAUCUACAUUUCUUGACCUACUAGCCUAUGACCACACUUAUAUUUGCAUCCUUCUCAACUUGAAAUCACUAGUUUGAUCAGUACCUAACAACUUUAUGAUACAUGUCAAAUUAGGAUAAUCUUAUUUGUGUUUUCCUCAAUAACAUUAAGACUCACUAGUUAUAGUAGUGCAACUAUACUAAUGAAAUCUCCUUAUCAAACCAACAACUAUAUACUUUUUCGAUCUUCAUACUUUUCCACUAACCCUUACUCUCUCCUUAUCAAACCAACAACUUGGAUCUUCUCCCUCCUCAAAACAUCUAUUAACACUUUCUCACUUUAGGGUUGACACCACAACUCACAACUAUAACUCAAUUCAUCUCCUUCAUCUUUGACCCAACUUCCUCUACACAACUCCAUACCUCUAGCUUUUGAUAGUCACUAAACACCCUUAAGUAAUCCCCGUCAGGAUGACAUGUCUGCUGCCUUAAAGAACUCUUUAUGACGCUUUAACCAUCAUGCCUUAAGUAAGAGAACUCUUCUCAUGUACCUCCCAUUAUCUAGAAACCUAGUUUAUGACUGUUCCACUACGUUACUCUGAUCUACAUGCUUUCUUACUCCUUUGUUUAUUCAAAAGGAUGAUCCUUUCAUGUCAACCGACAAUGAAAUGACCACCCUCGAGAAACCUCCUUCAAAACUUCUAUAAGGCUUACAAAACCUUAGAAUCCCCUUUUUAACGAUAUCUUUAUUAUUUCCUUUCCUCAACAUUGUCUCUACUCCUUGAAAACAUACAUACCAAAAGCCACUGUUGUCAUUCAAUACUUAGACAAGAACAAUUCAACCUGUCCUCUACUUCUCUUCCAAGAUCUAACAAACUUGCAGUUAUUCUCCUGAUUGCAUUGAGUACAAAUCAUUGUUCUCUCAUAGCUUAUUCACUUACUUCUUUUACGUCUCACACACUAAGGAAGAACUGACCAAUUAAAAACUAUUGACAUUGGUUCCGCUUCAGGCGCUAAUGUUAUAGUGAACUUAACCGCUACUAGGUGGUAAUUCUACUACCUGUUUUAGAACACGCAAAGAAACCCUUCCACAACUAUGAACUUGUCUUCUCUUCUUCACUUGUCCUUGUUAAAAUUUUCUAAUUCUCAUGACACUUUGCCUUCACUUUUUAGCUUAAUCCACACUUAAUGUACAACCACCGACUCACCUUCUCGAAACAAGAAACUUCUCUAGAAGACCAUAAACCAACAAAAAGAGACUAGAAUACACUCAUACCACUCUUGCGAUUAUUCUCCAACAAGCUAAAGAACCAUUUCAUAUAAACUUCAAACCUGAGCUAUUUGAUCAUCACAAGGCAUACCACACCUUCAAGAAAUCUUCACUUGGUAACAACUAAAACAACAACACUACAACUCAACUUUAAAACACUUUUCAAGAAUCAACUUCUUCAACUUUGCCUUAUCCAACAUUAAUUCUGCCUCUAAACCUUAGUAGACCAUCUGACCCCAUCACUAACUUCUUAACCUAUUCUCUUUCGAUCACUCUACUUUCUUUUGAAGACUAGGGCUCAACAACUGUUUCUCCUUGAUCAAACUCAGAAAAUCACUAGAUAUAGUUAGGCUACUACAUCUAAUGAAUUCGAUCUCAAACUCCACCUACCGCUUUAGAUCUCUGAACAUCACAACCAACCCAAGCUCUCUGAUCAUUUGUGGUAACCACUUUAACAAAUGAUAUUGUAGACACCCAUUUUUAGUUUUUACAAAACUUUUCUUCUUCAUUCCUCAUUCAUCGUGCUUUAAACUCAUUAGCAUUUCCUUCCUUACAAACUGAAUUUUCAGAUGUGCUUCUUCAUUCAAUGCUUGAAAUCUUCCACCUCAGCUCAAGGUCAAACCUUCUCCCUAUGCGAACCAUCAAUCUUCAAAUGUUCAUUCUAUUCUUGAUUCUGAUGCUGCCAAUUGUUGAGAAUAUCCAACCAUUUCCUUAUGGUACUUCAUGUUUCCUGAAAGAUUGGAUUUUCCCCAACUUAGAAAACUUUGCCACUCUCAACUCUUCCUCAAUCUCUUUUUUACCAUAUACUUCUUUUUCUAGAGACUGAUUCCUAUUCUCUUUUUAACUUUAACCUCAAACCUUCCAUCAUUUUCCUUAUUCAAGUCUUAGACAUUUUCGAUAUGCAAAUUCAUGUUGUUUUCUCAAUGUUGCUAUGCUAGGAUGCACCGAAAUCUUCCAUUUACUCCGAACUUUGAAUCCAAACUCUCUUGAAAAAAUUGUGAUAUCUGAUUCCCUAACUCUGUUCUUGAAACUCCCUCAAAUGAAAACAUUACUUUUGAACACCAUCAUCUUUGUGCAUCCUUUGAAACCCAAAAACUCUAGUCUUCUGACUCCCUAGCUCCAACACACAACAUCUUCCUAUCUUCGAGACAAAAGCUUGUGUCAAAGCCUUUAACCAAUUCUAAUAAAGGUAUACGAGUUAAGUUAUCCUUGAAUCUAUAUUCUUCUACCACUAUAGAGCACAAAACACUACCACAAAGGCAAGAACAAGACAUGAAUCACAAUGGAAAACCACACUCGAACCACCACUCUUCCAUAUUCCAAAACUUCAGAAUUAAGAAAGGAAAAUCAUCUUUGAUAUAGUCAUGAGUGUGCACCCUCAUUACUCUUAUUAAGACGUUUUUUUAUUCUCAAUACUUUUAGUUAAAUCCACAAACUCUACAAUCUAAACUUGGAAAGACAAGACAAAUUAUACCAUGUAGACUCAACUAUACACUAUAAAGACACAAUAAACCCAUAACCCUUAGUCAUUCUAAGAACGAAUUGCUCUAAUACCAUUAAUGUAACAUCCCAAAAAUUUUACACUUAACCAAAAACAUAAUAAGGUCUUUACAUUAACAAGAGAAUACUGAAACCAAAACUCAACUUAUUGAUUAUUUACCAACUUAAUAAAAUAUUUUUGAUUAACUAGAAGUCUAGACAAGUUUUGAAUGACCCUAAAAUAGACCCAAGAACUCAAUUUCUCAUAUUUAACCAUUACCUUAACUUCAAGCCUAUUAAAAACUCCUUUUUAGAUCAAAAACCAAUAUAUAGCUUAGUCUAUUCUUUGCUUCCCAAUACCACAUCAAUUUCAUACAAUUUACACUCCUAAACAGAAGCAUUCAAAAGAUCAUAUAAGUAUCAAUUCACAAUCAUUAAUAGCAUCAUGCAUCAAUUAGGCACACAUACUUAUCAAAACACAAUUAUCACUAAACAACCAUUUCAAAUUAUAACAAAAUCAAUUGAACAUCAACCUUACAACUUAGCAACCACAAUCCAUACUUCUUAAUUCAAAAAUAAAGAAAUUAUUAUUUUCCUUUAGCUACUAGAAGACCAAACUAUCCUAAAGAACUCCAAACAUCUCCCACAGAUCAAUGACACUAAUUGUGCCUACAAAUAACAAAAUCAUGAUCAGGAUAUGUCGUUAAGACCACUAAUCAACAGGAAAUCUUAUAGAAGACUUAAACUUAACAUACAAAAUAAAGAAGGUUAGCAUGUAGAGAAAAACGAAAUUGUCUAAAGAAAGUAACAAAAAGCCAACUUACUCACUCUAUUAGAGAAACCAAUCGGUUAGACUUGGAGAUCUUGCUACCGCGAUCACUCAUGCAGUCUCUAAUAUUCAAACAAAUGAACACAAUAAAAAAAAUCUUCUAAAGAAAAGUCAGAAAAAUCUAAACAAAUAAUUUCUAAAGAAAUAAUAUGUUUUUAAAUAAUAAAACUCAUUUAUAAUAAAAUUAUUUAUAUUAAAAUCUUUAAAAAUAUUCAAAUCUUACUAUUUUUAAACUAUUACCAUUCCUAAAAUACAUCUUUACAAAAUAGAUACCUCAACUUCAAUUACAACUUGAAUUUGAUGUAAAAAAGAAACUAAGACAGCCGCUUUGUCUAAAUUUUCUUUGCAAUGUAAGAACUAAAACUUUAGUGAGAAAACAAAAUCCCAAAAAGUUCCUUAAAAACUUCAAAAAUCAUAUAUCAAAUCAAAAUUGAAUACUGUCAAAUAAAAAGAUUUUGAGUUAAAAGUAUUUUUCUUUUAUCUUUAUCUUGUAAACAUAAAAGGGAAAGUCUCGUAAAGUUAUUUUAAUAAAAAAUAAGGUUAAAUAUGUUUUUAGUCCCUAUAUUUUGGGGUGAUUUUGGUUUUAGUCCCUCUUUCAAACUAUAGUACAAUUUAGUCUUUCAACCUUAGAAAACUCUGGUUUUAGUCUUUUUUACCAAAUUUUUUUAACUUUAUUUACUGUUUCAAACGCGUUUCUCAGUUAACAUUGGAGCAAAAAUGUGUCAAACAGUGUAAACAAUCCAAAUGCUAUAAUGUAACAUGGUUGAAACAGCAAAUAAAGUUUAAAAAAUUUGGUAAAAAGGACUAAAACCGGAGUUUUCUAAAGUUGAAAGACUAAAUUGUAUUAUAGUUUAAAAGAGGAACUAAAACCAAAAUCGCUCUAAAGUAUAGGGACUAAAAACAUAUUUAACCCUACAAAAUACACAACUAUCUUAAAAAUAAUAUAACACGGUGGGAGUCGUAAAUUAAGAUGUUAUAUAUUACUUUUACAAAUGACUAUAACGAUAAAUAAUAUAUAUUUCCGAAACUAAAAAAAGUAAUUGAUUUUUUACUAUUAAGAACACAUUUAGACAAAUUAUAAGAAAUUUCAAAAAAGAGAACUAAAAAAUAGAAAAUAUUUAUAAGUUAAAACAAAUUUAUGUAUAAAUUUAAAAUUUAAAAGUUAGAAAAUUCACAUAAGAACUUCCACCCAUUAACUUUUGCUGAAACAAUUUUAACUUUAAAAAAAAAAUCAUUUUUAUUAUUUUAUAAAGAAAAAAAUAAAAGGAAAAAAUUGUUAGAAAAAUGCCAGCUAAAACGUUGGUCGCCUUUCAAUUCAACGGCCUAACUGAAAUGAUAUAUAGUUUAAUAAUUAGUUGCUUGUCGUGUUAGAACGUUGGCAUCACGUGUUCUUCUAUCAAUUUCCUUUUUUGGGUAAACAAAACAGGGAAAUGCGACAACUUUCGGCCAUUCAUUCUUCCCCUACAAUAAAAUUCCGAAAUUCUUUAUUGAAUUUUUGUCUGAUCUUAUUAAUAUAAACAAUUCUGAUAUAUGAAAAUCUAUUAAAAUGAUUUAUGAUAUGUUAAAAUCAAUGAAUUUUAAAAAUAUAUUAGAGAGAUAAUAAAAAAUAAUUUAAAGAAAAUUUUAUGUCUUGAUCAUUCUGAAUAAGGAAAAUGGAACAACAAUUUCAUAUAUGGUAAGUAAUAUUAGAAAAAAGAAAAUUAAAAUCGACAAAAUUAUUAUGAAACAUGUGAUAUUAUUAUUUUAUCUAUAAAUAUUUUGUAAACUCAACUAUCUGAUAAUUUUUUUUAUCUUUUUACGAAAAAAAUACAAUAAUUUGGUGGCAUAAGCGGAAUGAGAACUUGAACACGCUUUCCUUGAAUUUGUCCUCACAACCUAACAAAGUGCAUUCAUAUCUUUCAUUAUCUCAGCACCUAAAGAUGAUAACAAAUUCAAUGCAAUUUAGUGAUAGAUGGAUGUGUUGUGUCUGUCAAAAUAAUUCCAUGUUACCUAUUUCAAAAGUUAGUAAAAACAAGUUAUUAUGCUUUUAAAACAAUUUAAGAUCACUAUUAAUUCAAAUCUAACUUUAUGUAUAUCUUAUUUUUAUAAAAUUUAUAAGGUAACAAAUUUUCUUAUUUAUAAAUUACUCUUUUCUAUUAUUCGUGCUAAUAGACUGACAGUAGUAAUUGAUCGAUUAAGAAGGUCUUUGAGCAUGGUAAUGAAUAAUAAUAACCGUCAUUGACUGACAGUUAAUAGAAAGAUGUUUAUUGACAAUGAAUCAGACCUAAAGGUAAACCUAUUUUAAUAUAAUAUAUAUAUAUAUAUAUAUAUAUAUAUAUAUAUAUAUAUAUAUAUAUAUAUAUAUAUAUAUAUAUAUAUAUAUAUAUGUUUGACAGGAAGCUCAGGUAACUAAUUCUGAGUACUUAUCUCUAUUAAACAUUAUUACGCAAAGUCACAUAAUUGAAUGUCGAAGUGUCUUUACCAGAUAUCUUUCCACACGGCUUGGAGAAGAAGAAGAAAAAGCGAACAACAUAACUUGAAUAACGGACGACCACCAGGAAGCCCAUUCAACCUCUAAAACAACUUUGAGUAAGAAUCUCAACAUCUUAUCCCAAACAAUUUUAUUUUUAAAUUGUGUUAGAUUCUUAAUAUAAUUUUAUAUGUAGAGAUAUGAAUAUCUUGUAUAUAAUAUUAGAUAUUUGUACAUAAUUUUAUAAUAGGUGAUACAAUUAAUUUAACCAAUUUCGUUAAAAUAUAUUAUGAUAUUAUAUUAAAAAAGUAAGUUUGAGUCUAUUUAUUUUCACAAACAUAGUGGAAUAAGUAUUGUUUACUUUUAUAUGCUAUAAAUUGAGUUAAUAUUGAUAUAAAAUAUCCAACAUUUAAUACUUAAAUUAAUUCAAAUAUUGAGUUUUACUUUUCAAUAUAAAAGUAGAGUUAAAAAGUGUUUUCAUAUUUUUCAAAUGAAAUUAGCACAUUUAACUAUUUAUAGUCUAAUUUUUUUUAUCAGCAUUUAUAGUUUAAAGUAAUAAGUGGUUAUGAUCAAUUUUCAAACCAAGUGUUUUCUUUUAAAUAUAGUAUUUGAUCUCUUUCUUAAAAAGAAAUAUUUUUUAUAUUUGUUUUGUUUCCAAUUUUAUCGAGGGAUAUUAUUAGUUUUGAUCAUUAUAUAUCCGAUGUAUUGUUUAUUUUAGAAUUUGUUUGACAGAAUUUUGUGUAUCUCGAUAUAUGAGAAGAGAAAGAAAUAUUGAAACUAUCUUAGAUUUUGAAUCCUAAACGAUGUGAGAGUAUUGAAUAUAGUAGGAACAUAAAAAUCCAAGUCAAGGUUUAAGGAAAACAAAUGAAUGUUCCCAAUAGAAGGUUUAAGGAAUCGACUCUCAAGUCUGUAAAAUGAUUGAAUCUUUAUAUAUAAAAUGCAAGGAGUAUUAGAAAGUGGGUUUUUAGGCGUAACUCAACCUCACAAAACCGGCUUGUAAGGUGAAGUUUGUACCUUUGUAGGCUUAAAACCAACUUUCUAAUAUGGUAUCAGAGCCAUGGUUAAAGCCUAUCUUAGGGAGUUCUAAGUGGGUAUUUCUCUUUCUAUUCCACCUGUUGUCGGGACAGUAUUGAACCACCUAAUUUCUUUCUAAUAGGGAGGUUUAACACAUACAUAAAUUUCCACACUUAUCUGUUUUGGGUCAAGUCCUCACGGAUUUGUUUUUGGUACCACUCCAAAAGUUCUCUUACCAAUAGAGAUAUCUUAUAUGUAUAUAAACCCAUGUCCAUAUCUUAUUUUAUCCUAUGUGAAACUUUGUUUAUAUCUAACAUAAAAUAGUAAAUAUGAGUUUAAGUGUAUCUUUCAUUAUUACACGUGUAUUUACAAGAUUUUGGAGUAGUGUAUAAUUUAUGUGAUUCAAAUAAAAAAUAUUUUUUAUGUUUUCAUAUAUAUACCUUUGCACUAUUUUUCAGGUUUUUUUUUUUCAUUAUAUUACUCCAUAUUAUAAAUAAGUUAUUCUUAUCAACUUUUUUUAAUUAGCACUUCAAAUGAUAAAUCUUUCUCACAUAUAAUCAAUUCUGUAUGUAAUAUUAUCUCUAAUUUUUAUCUUUUAUAUAUACUUGUUUUGUUUUCUUAUUUAUUCGAUAAUUUUUUUUUAGAAAAUAUGUUUUAUCUAAUGUUGAUUAUGUUUUUUUUUUUAAUUUGUUUAUUGUCGUUUCUUUGUCAUUUCGAUUUCAAAGUAAAAGUAAAAAAGAAGAAAGAAAAAGUAAGAUAAUAAAAAAAGUGAUAUAAAAGGUUAACAACCGAGGACAACAAGAAUUCUGAAGAGAGGAAGAAAAAGUACUCAUAGGCACGUGGAGGAUCCUUCGCCCAUAACUCUCGUAAUUUAUUUGUUUAUAUAUAUAUAUAUAUAUAUAUAUAUAUAUAAUAUUGAAAUUUAAACAAUUUUUAUUCUUUAUAAUAUUUUUGCAAAUAUAAUUAUAUUAUUUUAUUUUAACAAAAAAUCCUUUUAUUUUAUGAUUUUGAUUUAUUUAUUUAGUUUAAUGAUAGUUUUCUUUAAAAAUCCAUUUUAAAAGACUAUGAAUAAUAUAUUUAAUUUUUGUAACAUCCAAUUUUAAUAAUAUAAAAUUACUAAAAUAAAUGUUAGAUAGAUGCUAAAAGAACAAUUACAUAAAACAAACCUACCACAAAGAAAAGAUCUACUUCUAUAAAUCCAUUUAACUAUACCUUUCUUUCACCCUCACUUCUCACUAGAGUAACUAUAAAGACCUUUUUUCUCAAACAAAUCGUAUAAUAUUUAGAACAUAGCAAACAUGAAUCACAUAUAACAUACAUCAACUCAAACGUUUUAUCAUUCAAGGACCUAGACUGAGUAACCAAAUUUAAAAUGAAUAACGAGUUAUGGCGGGUCGUACACUUGUGGUGGUCUUUACUACUUUGCAAAAUCAUUGCUAAUGAGUUUCACCCUACCACAUUCACAAGGUUAGUUUAUAAUGCGCCUUAGACCUUACUAGAAGCGCCUAAGACUAAGACUUCCUACUACUUUCACCAGAUGUGUUAAACCUCUAUACUUGAGAAGGAAUUAUCAUUAGAGUGUCAAGAUAACCCGCAAGACUAAGCUUCCUGCAUUCAUACUAAUUAUACUUGAAACUACCGAUAAGAAGUUCCUCCUUGCAUUAGUGCAUAAUGAGGAUUUUAAUGUGCACAAUAUGCUUUGGUUUCUAGAAAACAGAAGUAUAACAAAAUGCGGUGGUAUUUUUGUAGUUUCAACAAACUUAUAGACCUCGAUUCAAGAGAAACCAAGGCAUAAAAGCCUCUAUUACCUCAGUUAUGAAGCAACUGAGGCGUAAAACCCUGCAAAAAUUUACUUGCUUCUCCUACAAAACAAACUUUUCUUCUUACACCUUUUCGAGGAGGAAAUACUACCUCGUUUAGUCAGAAAACUGAGACAUAAAGCCCUUUAGAAUCCCUUUGCAACCUUGCAAAUUCGCUGACAUUUCAAAUCGAGAAGGACAUACUGGAAUUGAGAAAUAAAGCCUUUUAAAAUCCCUUUGCAACUCUGUGAAUUCACUGACAUAACAGGUUGAGAAGGACAUACUGCCUUAUACCAAGGCAUAAAGUUAUGACCAAAAUAGAUAUUAAGCCUUUUUUUAUUUAAGUUUUAAAUUUUCGAUUUUUCUCUAAAUUUUUAAAAUAAACUAAAUUUUUAAAACAUUUUCUUUUUUAAUUGGCCCUCCAGUCAAUAUCUUGUUGCGAUAAUUAUUAAAAAGAUUUAAACAAAUACUUAUUUUACCGACAACUAUCUGUUGUAAAAAGCUGACAAGACAGUAUUUCCCGAGGCAUGUAGAGUCACUGUCCUUAAGGACUUAUCUAUGGUGUAUUGCGCAAGUCUCCCAAGAUACAACAGAACUUCCCAGAAUAUCUCUGAGGAUCUCAAAACUAGCAAUGAUCUCUAAAAGAGUAUAAAAAACAAACUCAUAAUAUUUUUAGAAGGAAAGAAGAGAGAAUGAGAAAAUGAUAGAAUGAGAGAAAAUGGUUUUGAUGUAUUUUGGAAAGGAAAAAGUUGUUCUAUUUAUAGAACAUGUAAAGCACAAAGUAAUAAAGCAAAAUGAACGUUGCAACCAUUAAAGAAAUUGAACAUUGAAAGAAAAUUAACAUUGUCACCCAACGUUCCAAAAUUCAAGCUCACAAUUAAUGUUUUUAAUGACAAAGUUUAACCUCUCAAUAAUGCAGUCUCAAACUUUCACACAUACCAUAGGAAGGGACAUAAUUGAUUAGAAUCAAUUUAGUGCUAUUAGAACUAAUAAGUGACUUGUUUUUACCCAAAUGAACCUUACUCAUGGGAUCUCUAAUCAUAAAGGUUGGGUUACCAUCACUUGUUUGUUUACAAGUGGCAUAAGUCUCAUUCCCCUCUAUGUUUCUAAUAUCAUUUUUCUUCUCAAGGGUUUUUGAGUAAAGCCUUUUAAUACUAAUCUUGCCUUAUAUUUCUUUAUGGAUCCAUCAAGGUGAUAUUUCUUCUUAAAGAUCCACUUACAACUAAUGGGUUUUGCUUCUUUAGGCAAAUCUACUAAAGUCCAAGUAUUAUUUUUCUGAAUUGAUUCAAUUUCAGUCCUAAUGGCCUUAUCCACUGUUUUGGAUCAUGAGCACUAGUAGCUUCUACAAAUCUUGUUGGAUUAUUAUCAACAAGAUAAGUAUAAAAGUCAUCUUCAAAGGAAGUUUCCUUUCUCUAUUUUUUACUUCAUCUCAAAUCCUCAUUCAUGGUAUCAUUAUUAUUAUUAUCAUCAACAAGUUGAGACCUUUCACUAACCUUUAAGUGAAACACAUGUUCAAAAAACUCAUCAUUUUUUUGUCUGCAUUAUAGAAUUUCUAUCAAGUAUGUUACUUUUAACAACUAGAAACCUAUAGGCAACACUAUGUUCAGCAUAACCUAAGAACAUACAAUCAAAGGUUUUAGAGCCUAUUUUUCUUUUCUUUUCUUAGGAUCAGGUAACAUCACCUUAGCUAAACACCCCCACACUCUUAGAUAUUUAAGGUUAGGUUGGUAACCUUUCCAUGACUCAUAAGGAGUUUUACCGGUUUUCUUAUGAGGUAUUUUAUUUUGUAAAAAACAUGCAAUAAGCAAGGCUUCUCCCCAAAGGUUAUCAGGUGCACUAGAACUAACAAGCAUAACAUUCAUCAUUUCCUUAAAGGUUCUAUUUUUUCUCCCAACUACUCCAUUAGACUCGGGUGAAUAUGGUGGGGUCACUUCAUAGAUAAUCCCUUUAACACAAUAGUCAUUAAACAAAACUUACUCACCACCCCUAUCUGAUCUUUUAAUUUUCUUAUUCAACUUAUUUACUACUUCUACUUUAUAGGUUAAAAACACAUCAAAGGCUUCAUCUUUAUGUCUGGUCAAGUAAACUUUGGUGUAUCUAGAAAAAUCAUCUAUAAAAGUCACAGAAUAAUUUUUACCUCCUCUAAACAUGGUUUGUUUUAAAUCAGCUAGAUCAGUAUGAAUUAACCCUAACAGUUCAGAUUGGCGUUCUACAAAAAAAACAUGUUUUCUUUGCCAUUUUAGAUUACACAUAUAUCAUACUUAUUACUCUGUUUAUUAUGCAUAUUAAUUAAUCCUAGUCGUUGUAAUUUCAAAACAUAUCAUGUCCUAAUCUAGCAUGUCAUAUAUCAUACGGGUCAACAAUAUAUGCAGAAGAGCUUGAUUCAUUAAUAUUUUCAGAAACAUUUAGAAAAAAGAGUCCUUAAUCUAGCACAUCACUCAAGGCCAGAGUCUUUCCAUAUGUAAGUUUGAGAAGAACUUUUCUUUUUCCGAACAGGAGUGAUGUUGGAAUCAUCGAGGUAGACGUGUUUUUCUCCAUCCCUUACACUAGUGUAAGAGGUAAAGACAUUUCUGUUUGCACGAAUAUGCACCAGAGUCUAUGUCAGGUGUGCAAAAUAUUUCUAUGCCAGUGGGUUUAGAUUCACUAAGACAAAGACUAUCUCGACUUCAGAAAAAGCUUAGUAUUUUUUGAAACGUGUAUAACUAGCUAGGAUUUCUAAAAAAAAAUAAAAAACAAAUCCAAAAUAUUUUUAAAAAGAAAAAAUGAGAAUAAGAAAAAAUAAUUUUGAUGCAUUUUAGAAAAGAAAAAGUUGUUAUAUUUAUAGAACAUAUAAAACACCAAAUAAUAAAACAAAACAAACGUUGCAACAUUAAAGAAUUUGAACGUUAAAAGAAAAUUAACUUUACCACCCAACGUUCCAAAAUUCAAGCUCACAAUUAAUUUUUUUAAACCACACAUUAACUUUUCCAAUAAUAUAAUAUUAAUAUAUUAUAACACUUUAAUUAAAGUGUUCUACUUCUGCGUAACCGACUGAGAGAAUAGAUGAGAAUAAUGAUCUUUCGAAUCUCGAUAUCUCUGCAACACAAUGCAAACUAAACUUCAUUUCCGCAUCAACAUGUCAUAGCAGAUCAUCACAGCUGUUGCGUUACGAAGACGAAGAAGCAACAGAUAUCGGAAUCAGAUCAUCAAAGACGGCUAAGAUCUCACACGUGUCCAAUUCCCAGAGCCAUGAUUGCUUCAUCAUAUGCAACCUCUCACCUAUAUAUACAUACAUCUCAUCUCAUCUCUUAACCAUUAUUAUACCUAUCUUCUUUACUUUCUUAUUCCCAAAAAAACCUUUAUUUUUCUUCUCAAUUUGUGUCACAUGGCUUCUUCACCACCCUCACUCAACCAGAAACAAGAGGGUAUGCAUGUUUCAUUUUUCUUAGUUUGGAUCAGAAAAUUUCUGUUAAAAGUUUUGUUUUUUCUUCAACCAUUGAACAUGUUUGCAGAAGAAGCAGGUAUGCUUGGAGAGAAAUCCAUUUCACUUGAGGAGAACGUUCUGCAGAAGCAUGCUGCAUUCUUUGACAUAAACAAAGAUGGUGUCAUAUAUCCAUGGGAAACUUUUCAAGGUUUUCACUGCUUUUCCUUUCCCCUUCAAUUCUCAACUUUUUUCCUUCUUACAAAUGAUCAUUUUGGAGAAAACAAGGUUAGGGUUUUUAGGGAACAAUCUUGUCCAAAACUUGUUUUUUUCAGUAUGCCACAGUUCUGCAAGAAAAGAUCAUGAUGUAAAAGAAAUGCUGAAAUGAAAACUAGAAUUAGAAAGGGAAGAAAAAUUAGAAACAGUUUUUUAUCAUAGAAUUUGUCAAAAUUUGAUAGUUUUGAAUAAGUGCAGGAAUGCGUGAAAUUGGGAGUGGGAUUUUAUUGUCCAUUGGAGGUGCUAUUUUCAUCAAUGUGUUUCUCAGUCAGACUACUCGUCCGGUAACUCUCUCUUUCCCUUUUUGAAAACUCUUAUGUUUUCUUCAAGUAUUUCUCUAUUUUAAUCUCUACUUACCAUGUUUCUCUUUAAAUUUAUGAUUUUUAUCAUUAUCUUUUUUUUAAAAAAAAAUGAAAAUAGUUGGUUGUUUAGAUUUGAAUUUCAAAGUAUGAUAAUUUCACCAAACACAAGAACAUAAAAUGUUGUAUUAAUCUACUCUUUCUUGUAUUAAAACUUUUUUAAGUCAUCAUCUUUUUAAUGUGAAAGAUAUUAAUGGGUUUUACCCUUUUGUUUUAUAAUUACUUUUUUUAUGAUUUAAAAUGAAAUUGAUUAAAAGGGGUUAUUUUUCAUAAAUUUAAACCCUUGAGAAUCAGUAGAAAAGGGUGUAUUAACAAUUUUAGCCUGAAACAAGAAAAAAACAGUGACGGAGUGAUGAAAUUACAAACCAUUGCCCUUAAAAUAUCUCUUAUCCCUUUAUGGGAGUAGAGAAGGUAUCUGAUCUCUGGGCCAUACUUUAAGAAAAUUCUUAUCUCCAAAAUAAUUUUGUGGAAAAUAAAUAAUAAUUUAUUCUUAGUUCAUUACUGAGAACUCUUUCUUUAGCCAUACGUUUUAAUAAUUACAAUUUAUUUUUUGAAAAAUGAAUCAUUAAGGAUUACAUUAAAUUAGAGUAAUUACCUGUUGUCUUUUUGUAGUCAUACACUUUAAUGACCAUUUAUUUAUAGUGUAGUAUAUUUAAUAAUUUUGUCUUUAUUUUAUAGUAAAGUUAAUUAACCAUUUUAUUACUAUAUUUAUUUAUUACAUAAAAAUAUAGAUAUAGUAUUGUUGUGCUUGUAUUUCCGUAUAAUGAUAAUGUUAAUUUCCAAUUAAAUAUAAAUAAAAUGCAAUACUAAUAUUUUACUAUAAGCAGUUUGAGUAAAUAAAACAAUAUUAACUUAUCCAUUUAAUAAUAAUUUCGUUAUCUAUAUAUUUAGAAAAAAAAACAUUUAAUUGAUUCAAUAACUUUUUUAAUAUUUUUAAUUCUACUAUAAUUAAGUAAAAUAAAUUGGUGAAAAAAUGUCUGUUUUCUAUAACUUAUUAACUUCUCAUGAUGUAGGGAAAGUUUCCAUCAUUACUUUUCCCAAUUGAAGUUGAAAAUAUCCAACGAGGCAAGCAUGGUAGUGACAGUGGAGUCUAUGAUACUCAAGGAAGGUAUAAUUUUUCAAAAUUAUAUCUUUUGGUAACAAUUUUAGUCAUAAAAUUAUAAAACAUUGUUAAUCUUCAAGAUCAUUGAUAAAUCUCUAUUUUUUAUGCACUUUAUGGUGUGUUUAGGUUUGUUCCUCCAAAAUUUGAAGCAAUUUUCAGCAAGCAUGCACAUACAAAUCCAAAUUAUUUGACAUAUGAUGAGUUGAAGGAAAUGAUUAAGGCAAAUAGAGAGCCUAAGGAUUUAAAAGGAAGGUAAGUUUGUCAUAUAUGAUUUAUUAUAGUAUUAUAUUUAUCAUCUCAUUACAAAUAAAUAAUAUUAUUAAAUGUAAAAGUUAUAAAUUGAUCAUGCAUACUUAAAAUUAUUUUCACAUUCAAUUCAUGGUCUUUUAUCUAUAUCCAUAUUAGAAGUAUAAGGUUAGAAAAAUAUGUUUAUGAUGUUUGAUUUAUCUUUUUAAAGUAAUAUUUUCGAUCAAUAAUGUGAUCAUGCAUGGUUUUUAGCCAUGUUUUCUUCUUCUUUUUUUUCCUAAAAAAAUAUCAUUGAACAUUUUAUAAUAUAACUCCUCAAAUUUAAAUAAAAUUUUGUUAAAAAAAUUACCAUAUCAUAGCAUAUUACUCUUGAUUUUUUUUUUAUAAAUACUUUUAAUCAACCGAACUCAAUUUAGUAAUUCCUAAUAACCAUAUACUUUCUCAUAUUUAUGAGCUUUAGCAAUCUUUAUUUCUGGGUAUGAUGAGGAAAUCUCUCUUAGUAUAAAAUUUAUCGUAAAAGUUGAGAAUUUAAAUAUAGUUUGUGACAAAAUCUCUAGCUAUUCUAUGAAAUUAGUCAUAGUUUUUCAUUGCUUUGCCAUAAAUUGGAGUAAUUGUUGACAUAUUGCAAUGCACAGAAUUGGUAGUUUUGUGGAAUGGAGCAUACUUUACAAACUUGCUAAAGAUAAGAAUGGUUUGCUGCAAAAAGAUACAAUCAGAGGUGUUUACGAUGGAAGCCUGUUUGAACAGCUGAAAAACCAACACUCUUCAGCCAAAAAGAAGUAAAAAAUCUCAGACAGUUUAACUUCUAUGAUGGAAGCUUGUUUGAACAUUCAAAGUGUAUGCUUAUUUUUAUGUCCAUCGUUGUUGUAUUUGCCAAGUCAAAGCUCUGUGUCAUCAUUUGGAAUUUACCUAAAAAGUUUGUACAAACAGAAACAAGAAGACAUCAUAUCAAGGAAAAAGUUUUUUUUAACAAUUUUUAUUUUACAAUUUUUUGAUAACGACAUGACAGUUUGAAAGUGGUUGGUUUUAAAUAUUUUUUCUGUUUCUAUUGUCAAAAUUGUUAAAAUAUCAGGAUUCUUGUAUUAAAUUAUUGUUCAUACAUAUUUCCAAAUUUAGAUUAAACAUUUGUAUGAUGAUGAAAUUGGUACAAAUUUGUAUACUACUUUGUUUAUUUUUUUAUUUUUAUAUGUUUUGAAAAUUUUGACACAUCAAAUUCAGUUUUAAGAUAAUCAAGACCAUCACUGGUAUAAAAUCAACCUUUUGAGUAUGUCAAAUUAAGUUUGUUUUCAAAUUAAGAGACCUAAUAAAUGUCACUAAAUACAAGUUCAUGUUUUAAGUCUGUUAAUUUCAUAACAUAUUUAACAUACUUAAAUUUUGAUUUUAAAUUUACUGGAAGUAAAUCAGAUUUAAAUUUUGUAUCUGUUGAAUUUCUUAAUCGACUUAAAUUAAUAUUUUAAAUCUUUUUUAAUAUAAUAAUACUUUAAUUUUGUGAUAGUAUAUAUGGUUUUGGUUUUCUUCCUCAGUUAUGAGAAAGGUUUGGAAAUAUCGAAGGCUGAGCUUCAAUUUUUUUUUAGGUGUAGAAAAUGUUGUCUGUAGGGUUGAAAUUUUAGCAGUAGCAUUGGUUUUGUUGUUUUAUGAACCUCUUUCUUCCUGAAUACAAUGCCUCCAUGACUAUGACUUGUAUAACAGAUCUUGAGGAAGGUUUAAGAAAUGAAAUUUUCAAUGGGUGCCACGAAAAGUCACCUAAAAAAGGGAAUGAAAAGGAAGGAAAGCAUGGAAAUUCAGGCCAUAUUUUCUUUUUUCAAUUUAACAUGUUUCAUUUGCAUUUGAGAAAAUCAAUUUUAUUUCAUUCAACAUCUUGAAGGAUUCCAUCUUGAGACAAUGGAGGGAAGCACUAAAUCGAAGAGGAAGGAAACCGAUAAAGAAUUUUAAGUGAUCCAUGAACAACAACCAUACUCUAACAUUCAAGAAAACACUCCGCAAAUGACCAAUGCAGUGUGUUCAGGACAUAAACAACUGGCUAUAAUGUUUAUAAAUUUAAAAAUAAUGAAAUCACUUUGAAUAAAAGAUAUUCACAAGGUAAUGAAUGUAAUACAAAAUUGUUGAACAAUAUUUUUUGAGAGACGUGUAAUUUUAUUGUUUUUAAUGACUUAUUUGUGGUGUAUUAUGCAAAUCUUUCAUAAAAUACAACAGUAAAUUUCAAAAAUAUUUAAAAACUUCAGAAUUAACAAGAAAUUCUAAAAGAGUUGGAAAUAAGAAAGAGAAGAAAAAAUAAAAUUAAGAGGAAGAGUUAAAAAAAAGGUGUGAUAUAGGAGAAGAAGAGCUAAAAAAUGGAAGGAACUUUUGUUUGUGCUUAUUUUAUGGAAUGAAGUGGGUGUUGUAUUUAUAGAGCAUACGUUACAUUGAUGAACGUUGGCCAACAUUCUUUUGCAAUAUUAUAUUAUUGUUUUACAAUAAUCUCUCAUCUCACAUAUUGUAAAAGAAAAAGAACAUAGAAAAAGUCUUUGAGCCAAACAGUUUUGUCUCAAAACUAAUUUCCCAUAUUUCAAGUAAUUAUUUUUUCAAUGUCUUCUUUUAGCAAACUUGAAAAAUGAUUGUAUAUAAAGCAAUAACAUAAUAUAGUUGGUAUAGCAAAUUUUUAUCCUGUGUGUAUAGUAAUAAACGAAGAUUAAAAGAAAGAUAAAAAUUUUUUUAUCCUGUGUCAUAAAAUGUAAUGCAUCAGAACUAGUAUAACAAUAUGAACUAGUUUUAGAUCAAGAAACUUAACACACAAUGUAGUUGGUAUAGUAAGCUAUAUGAACCAAAUAUAGUUGAUGUGUAUUAGAGGUUUAUCAAUCACAAUACAUCCCCACAAUCCUUGUUGUUAUCGUUGUGUUGCGCUUAUUAGGCCAUGCGCGUAUCUGAUAUUCAUGAGUGCUCUAGAGAUCAUGACAAGAUCUCAUGCAAGUAACCCCACUUGACACUCAUAUAGGUGAUUUCAUCAAGUGUAUGCUACAAAUCAUACACCACCCAUAAGGGGUAUGAAAAUCAUUAAAAACUUUGUUUAAGCUAAAAUUCUUUCACCACAUAGAAUUUUAAUGAUAAAGUUUAACCUAUCAUAGUGAAGUGUCUAAUACUUUCACACAUAUCAUAAGAAUGGACAUAAUUGAUUAAAAUCAAUUUAGUGCUAUCAUAACUAAUAAGUGACUUGUUUUUACCCAUAUGAACCUUAUUCAUGGGAUCUCUAAUCACAAAGGUCGGAUUACCAUCACUUGUUUGUUUGCAAGUGGCUUAAGUCUCAUUCUCCUCGAUGUUUCUAAUAUCAUAUUUCUUCCUAGGGGUUUUGUUAAGAGAUCUGCUAGAUUCUAUUCUGACUUCACAUAAUCAAUGGAAAUAGUUCCACUCUUCAGCAGCUGUUUUACCAAAUUGUGUCUCAAUUGUAUACAUCUAUUCUUUCCAUUGUAAUUCUUGUUUUUAGCUACAACUAUUGUCGAUUGACAAUCACAGUGUAUUGACACCGAUGAGGUUGGUUUCAUUCCUAGUGGAAUGUUUGUUAAGUUUUUCAUCUGCUCAGUCUCACUACCAGCCAUCUCAAGAGCAACAAACUCAAAUUCCAUUGUUGAUCUUACAAUAAUUGUUUGCCUGGCUGAUCUCCAUGUAAUUGCACCACCCUCAAGUGUGAAUACAUAACCACUAGUGGAUUUUGUCUCAUCUGAAUCAGAGAUCCAGUUAGCAUCACUGUACAUUCUAGUACAUCAAUAAAUCCACUAUAUUCAGUGGCAUAAUCCAUUGAACCUCUUAAGUAUCUCAUAAGUUUUGUAAGUGCAUCCAAAUGUUCCUGAUUUGGACAUUGAGUAUACCUACUCAGUCUACCUACUGCAUAAGCAAUAUCAGGUGUAAAAAAACUCAUCAAGUGCAGUAAGCUCCUAAUUAUCUAGGCAUACUAAAGUUGAGAUAUAGAUUCUCGUUUAUUUUUCAUUAAUUUAGAAUUAGCAUCAUAAGGAAUACUCACUGGUUUAAAGGCAUAAAACCCAAAUUUUUUAAGAAGUUUCUCAUUAUAUUGUUCUUGGGAUAGCAAUAUACCAUCUCCAUUCCUUAUGAUUCUAAUACUUAAAAUCACAUAGGCUUCACCCAUGUCUUUCAUUUCAAAAUUUAACCCUAGAAACAAUUUUGUUCUAGCGACAUUCUCAUUAUAUGUACCAAACAUUAACAUGUCAUCCACAUACAAGCAUAUAAUGACACAAUCAUCAUUUUCAUAUUUAGAGUACACACAUUUAUCAACAUCAUUAGGUGAAAAACCAUCACAAAGCAACACAUUAUCAAGUUUUUCAUGCCAUUGUUUUGGUGUUUGUUUUAAUUCAUACAAGGAUUUUAGGAGUUUACAUACUUUAUUCUCUUAACCAAGUACAACAUACCCUCCAAAUCACCAUUCAAAAAGGUUAUUUUAGCAUCCAUCUGGUGUAUCACUAACAUAUGGAUAACUGUUAUAGCUAACAAUACUCGAAUGGAGGAAAUCUUAUUCACAGGAGCAAAAGUAUUAAAGUAAUCUAUGUUGGAUUUUUGAAUAAACCUUUUGCUACUAAUAUUUCCUUAUACUUCUAUGGAUCCAUCGGGGUGAUACUUUUUCUUAAAGAUUCACUUACAACCAAUGAGUUUUGCUCCUUUAGGCAAAUCUACUAAAGUCCGAGUAUUAUUUUUCUGAAUUGAUUCAAUUUCAGUCCUAAUGACCUUAUCCCAUUAUCUUUUAUCAAGAGCACUAGUAGCUUCUACAAAGCUAGUUGGAUCUUUAUCAACAAGAUAAGUAUAAAAAUUAUUUCCAAAGGAAGUUUCCAUUCUCUGUCUUUUACUUCUUUUCAAACCCUCACUCAUGACAUCAUCAUUAUUAUCAUUAUAUUCAGAUGUCUCACUAAGGAAAAAACAUUUUCAAGAAACGUAACAUUUUUGUCUCCGUUUUAGUGCUGCGCUCAAUCACAUCACUUUUGAGAACCAGAAACCGUUAGGAAGCAUUAUGCUUGGCAGAGCCUAAGAACAUGCAAUAAGAGGUUUUAGAGCCUAUUUUCCUUUUCUUAAGAUCGGGUAACAUCACCUUAGCUAGGCACUCCCAAACUCUUAGAUAUUUAAGGUUAGGUUGAUAACCUCUGCACAACUCAUAGAAAGUUUUACUAGUUUUCUUAUGAGGUAUUCUAUUUUGUAAGAACACGCAGUAAGGCUUCCCCUCAAAGGUUAUUAGGUGCACUAGAACUAAUAAGUAUGACAUUCAUCAUUUCCUUAAGAGUUUUAUUCUUUCUCUCGACUACUCCAUUAGACGCAAGUGAAUAUGGUGGGGUUACUUCAUGGAUAAUACCUUCUUUAAUACACAAUUCAUUAAAUAAUACAUAUUCAUCACCUCUAUCUGAUCCAAUCCUCUUAAUUUUCUUAUUCAAUUGAUUUUCUACUUCUACUUUAUAGGUUAAAAACAAAUCAAAAACUUUAUCUUUAUGUUUAAUUAAGUACACUUUGGUGUAUCUGGACUAAUUAUCUAUAAAGGUCACAAAAUAAUUUUUACCUCCUCUAGACAUGGUUUGUUUCAAAUAAGCUAGAUCAGUAUGAAUUAACUCUAAUAGUUCAAUUUGAUGUUCUACAGAACAAUAUGUUUUCUUUGUUAUUUUGGAUUCUACACAUAUAUCACAUUUACUACUCUAUUUAUCAUGCAUAUUAAUUAAUCAUAGUCGUUGUAAUUUCAAAAUAUACGAGGAAUUCACAUAUCCUAAUCUAGCAUGUCGUAUAUCACACGAGUCAACAAUGUAAGUAGAAGAACUUGAUUCAUUAAUAAUUUCAUAAAUAUUCAGUAUGAAGAGUCCUUGAUCACAAUAUCCCUUUUUCACGAAAACAUUAUUUUUUUGUCAUAAUAAUCUUGUUAGACUCAAAUGACGACUUUAACCCCGCUUUUCUCAGUAUUGAUAUAGAGAUUAAAUUAACUCUGAAAGAGGGCAUAUGUAGAACAUCACCCAAGGCUAGAGUCUUCCUAGAUGUGAGCUUAAGAAAAACCUUUCCUUUUCCUAGGACAAGAGUUGUCCUGGAACACUGAGGUACAUAUGUUCUUCUCCAUUUCUUACACUAAUGUAAGAGAUAAAACCACUUCUAUUUGAAGAGAUAUGCUUGGUAGCCAUAGAGUCAACCACUCACUUGCACACAUUGGUCAUCAUAUUUACUUUAGAAAUAACCACAACAAUAAUGUCAGCUCCUUCGGCUAUAUUUACUCUAGGAGAAUUGUCAUUUCUUGCUCUACACCUACACUGUGAUGUCCUAACUUUCCACAUAUAAAAGAAUUUCCUUUCUUCUUAAAAGUGGGGUUAGAUCCAUUGGGACAGGAUUUUCGAAAAAUACUUUUCUUUUUGUGAUCAGGUUUGUGUCUGUUCCUUUUGGGAGCUGGAUUGACUUCUACCACAUUUGCUUUUGCAGAUAAAGAUUUAGCCCUUGCAGUAGCACACUCCUUCCUAUUGGUAUUUUCAAUAAUUAUGUGUGUGAUAAGCUCUGGAAGCGAUACAUGCUUGUGUCUAUGUUUAAGCUAUUGUUUGUAGUCAGUCCAAGAUGACGACAAUUUUUGGAUUAGAAAUUCUGAACAAAUUCAUCCGAUAGAAGAAUAUUCUCUGCUUUGAUAUCUUUGAGCAACUUGUGGUAUUCAUUGAUUUGAGUCUUUAUGUCAUUGUCUUCAAUCAUCUCCUAACAGUAGUAGUUUCCUAUGACGAAUCUUUGUUUGACGACAUCUUCGACAGUGUAUUUGAGAACUAACAAGUCCCAAAUGUCUUUUGCUUUCUUCUAGGAACAAUACACAUCAAACAAAUCAUUAGAAAAUGCACUAAGCAGAGUGCGCCGACAUACCUUGUUCGCGUAAGUCCGAUCUUCAACUAGUUUUGAGUUUGAAGGGAUACUAGAGUCAGGUUUUGGAGAUGAAAGAGCAGUUGCAACUCCAUACAUGUCUAAAAGGGUAGACAUACAUUUUUCCAAUGUCGAAAGUUGUCCAAAGAAGACCUCGACUAUUGACACGUCGAGAAGUGGUUUUGCAAAUAUCGUGUAAGUUCCGGAAACAAUGUUUUGACUCUUCAGGAUCGAGUUGUUGAUGUUAACCAUGAGUCCUUAAGGUUGUAGUAGAAAAUUACUGAGAAAAUUAUGCAUAAUAUUUCUUGAGAUGUGUAAUUUUACUGUCCUUAAAUAUUUAUGUGCAAUGUAUUGCGCAAGGCUUCCAAGAUACAACAGGAUCUUAUUGAAAAUAUUCGAAAAUCUCAUAAUUAGCAAAAAAACUCUAAAAGAUUUUAUACCCAAAAUACAAGAUACAAAAGUUUGUGAGAAGAAGAGCUGGAAAAUGGAAAGAAUUUUUUUAUGCUUAUUUUUAGAUAAACCCAAUAAAUAAUAUUGGAGGAAUAAUGAAGUAUUCCCAUUUCAAAACAAUUUUUAGUUGAACCAAGAAUAAACUAUGGGUACAAAUAAAGCACUUUAAUCAAUCUUAUAUUUAUAUGGGUAAGGUUCCACAUAAAAAUAACUCUCAAAAAAAUCACGUAUAUAUUGUAAUUUAAUACAAUGCUUUUGAAGGUGACAAACAUUACGUACUUUUACUAUGUAAACAAAAAAAAAAUGUUAUUCUUUUACUCACCGAUCUCUUUAAUUCCACGGUAAUUUAUUCUUUUAAAUUUACUCAAAUUGUAUUCAAAUUUUAAAUCCAGUACCCUUUUUUUUCAUUAUUUUUGUUCAACUUUGUUUUAUCAACUUCAUCUUCAAGAUUCUAUUUGCGUUUAUGUUUACGUUUACUUGAAAAAUAAAAAAAUCUUCCAAAAAGAUAAGUAGAAAAAUACCAAAAUUGAGUUACUUCGUAUAUUCGGUUAAAAAUAAAUUUUAAGAUUAACUUAAUUUUAUAAAAUUAACUUGUAAGAUGAUUUUUAUAUUUAGUGAAAAUAUUUUAAUACAUUCAUUCCAUGUUCAAGACAUUAAUGAGUGAUUUAAUAAUGGUUCAAAAACAAAUAGAACAAUAGAUCCAACAAUAAAUUUAACUAGAAUAAACUUUAACUCGUGACUCCGAUGAUCCAAUGUUAAAAAGUGAAUUUUAAACCUUAUUCAAUUUUACAAAACCGACUUGUAAAAUAAUGUUUACUAUCCAUCUUUUAUGAGACUUCCAACUUCUGGUCUUUAAUAUUUUCUAAUAAAUAUAACAAAAUAUUUCAUAUACUAUUUGCGUCAUUCAACUUGAAACUUUCACAUAUCUAGCAAUUUUCUAUUUUUUCAUCAAAUUCAGCAUAUCACAUACACAAUGAAAAUCAAGAAAAUGUAAGCAAUGCGCACAAAUAUAUGUAUAUAUUAUAUAUUCACCACCAACAACUCAUCAUAGAGAUGAGAAGAUGGAAGAGGUGAUUUUCUUGAUCUAACAACUCAUGGCGAACCAUUCUCAAUAGAAUGACAUUGUGAGGAAGAAGACCACUAUAGUAUAGGAGGGUUGAGAUGGAAGUGCUUGGCUCACCAACAAAAGAUGACACAAAUCUCACCAUUGACCUAAACAAUAAAGUUGUAAGAGACUGCAGUAGUCACACAGAUAGAAAAGUUAAAAAACAACAAACCCUAAUUUUUUGCUCUGGAAAUUAAAUGAGGAAAAAUGGACUCAAAAAAGAUGAUAAUUACCAUGAUUAUAUUGUAAUCUGAAUGAAGCAGCAAUGAAUUAUUAUAGUUUCAGGAGGGGUUUUGAAAUGAAGUUAGGUUGAUUUAUAUAAAGAUGGCCAUGUGGAGAGUAGAAAACCCUUUUGUUUUUUCUUACAAAUUAGAUGCAGCGGAAAUUCAAACCAAACCGUCAGCCAACGUUCAAAUGUACCCAAUUAGUGGUGGAAAUUAUGAAUCUCUUCUUUGAUUACUUUAAGUAAGCUAUUAAAGAUAUAAGACCAACGUCCACAAAUCUUAUUUAUAUAUUUAAUUGAUUUAGAGUUAGAGUUCAAUAUUAUUAUCCUAAUAGGUAGAAACUCAAUUUUAGGAAAUAUGCAAAUUUUAAAUAUCCAAUGUAUAAAAAAUAAAAUAAAAUAAUGUACAAAUUUGGGAAAAACUUGAAAGUCAAUUAUAUAAAUUUGAAAAAUAUAAUUAAUUACAAAUUACAAAAGUAAAAAAUAAUAGGUAAAAUCAUUCAUUAUAUCCUAAAAUAUAAUGCAUACAUAUAUAAUAUUUAUUCAGUUAUUCAAAAUAAUAACUAUAAUAAUAAAAUAUUUACAAACCAACUAUGGAUCACCUUUUCAAAAUAAAAAUAACUUUUAUACAAACAUCUACAUAAAACUAUAAAACUAUAAAACUAUAAAACUAUAAAAUUAUAAAACUAUUAUGUCGCAUUCUCACAUUUCACUAAAGACAUAUCAUAACUUAUCUCGUAUUGUGUUCACACCAUGAAUAAACUUUUCUAAAUUAUUUAAAGUUAUGUUAUAUAUAAACAUACAAACAUUUGAUACUAGACUCAAUUAUAUGAAAACAUGUCUUUUAGUCUAGUGUAAUAUUAUUUAUGUUUUGUAGUGCAAGAUAGCGGUGUUCUAUUAUUAUUCAACGUCAAAGCAUUUGUAAAACUAGAUGCUCAGCGGUAAAAAAGAAUGUUUAGUAGUUUUGAAACAAAAAUGUUCCUAGACUUGCACUAAGAAACUUGCGCUUAACAGCCAACUAAUAUCUAUAGACACUUACAAUUAUUUUUUAAGUGAUCUUGUGUCUCUUCAAUUAAUCAAUUAAUCAGUACUAUUUUCUCAAUUAAUUUAAAAUAAUUUCAAACGUAGAAACUCGUACUAUUUUACCCAAGAAGAACUAAUUUAAGCUUAAAAACAAAAACAAAACACUAACUUACUUCAAUUAAAAAAUUGAUCGUCUCGAAUUCAAGAUUAAUGGAAUAAUAUUUUUAAUAUUCAAAGAUUAAAUAAUUAAAAAAAUAAAGAGCGCUCUAAAAUAAACUUUCCAAUAAUGGAAGUAUAAUUUAAAUAUUAUAAAAAAAAACACAGUAAAACUUUUCCCAUACUAUAGAAGAUUUAAACAUUUUAUAUUUAAUAUUCGUGAAUCGUGAUAAGGUUAUUUCGCUGUAGAAAAAAAAAUAUCAAUAAAAAUAAAAUAGAAUCAUUAUACAAUCACCAUAUUUUCUUUUAAUUUAUCGCUAAUUUUGUUGUUGUAAUCAAUACGUUCAAAUAUCCUGAACCCUAAUUUUCUUUUUUAUUAAUGUUUUUACAUUUUUUUUCCCUUUUAAUGAAAAUAUUUUUUGUUUUUCUAAUUUUCAAUAGCAAUAUGCAUAAUGUAUUUUUUUAUUAUUAAUAUAUUAUAUUGUGUACCUUUAUAAGUUAUAAAUGGUGAGUAUAUUGAAAUUUUGGAACUGCAGGAAGUAAUUUGUUCGAGUGCAGAAGCUAGGCCUUAUCCUCCUUCUUCGUCUUUCUUACCUUUUAAUUUCUUCAUACACCUCCACAAAUUUUUAAAAUGACGAUUUCAUCUAUUUAGAACGAAAUUUCUGGAACAAAAUUUUCAAAAUGCAUUUCCUCAAUGAUUUCUCUUUUCUUCUUUCUUUUUCCGUAUUUUUUCUCUUAUUGUUCUCAUUGUCGUGUUCUUCCACAUUUCUUCUUCUUCUACAGUAGUUGGUGUUGACAGCAGCAAUGAUGGUGUGAUACAAUGAUAAAGGGUCUUUUGAGUCUUUUUCCACUAGUGCAAAAACGCUAUUUAACGUCACCCAAUAGACGUUUGUUUGUUGAUAAUCCGACGUAUAUGAGUGGAUGGUGGUAUUAUCGUAAAUAGCUUGAUAACGUAGACGUCGGUUUCUACACAACGCGACGUCUAUGAUAUUGUAGACAUCCCAACUGCUGCAAACAGACAUCUAAUGGCCUGAGGUAGGUCAGAAGACAGUCCCGUGACGUCGGUGUUCACGGGGGGUGACGUCUAUAGGGCUGCAAUUAAUGCUUUCACCUAAUUCCCAGGCGCUUAGACGUCGCUUAGUCAAUAGGUGACGUCUACGGCCUGAAUAAAGAAGGCGGGAUGAUAAAAAAUCUUCAAUUUAGACGUCGGGGAUCGGUACACGCGACGUCUAAGUGCCUGUAAUUAAUUAAAUUCACCAAAUUCAAGGGCCAUAGACGUUGGCUAGAAGGGGCAUCGACGUCUAUGUGCCUGUAAGUAAUGAUGUGCAUCAUUAUAGACGUCGGCGCCCCAUCACAACUGUCGUCAACAUCCCUAACAGGAAAUCAAAUGUAAAUCGUUUUAGCUUCCUAGACGUCGGAUCCCCUUGUGACCGACGUCUAGUGGGAUUCAAAAGGUCGGUUGAAAAGUUAACUUGGACGUCGAAUUAGUAACAGAACUGACGUCUAUAGUCAUGUAGACGUCGGCUAUCUGGAGAACCCGACGCCCAGUUUCAUUUUAAAAAGACCGCAAACUCUUCGCGGCAUUCAGUUUUUGAUAUCUUCCUCUUCCUCUUCUCCUUUUUCUCUCACGACACUCUUCUUUUUCUCUCUUUCGGCACAUCUUCUUUUUGUUGUGGCAUUCUAUUGUUGUUUCUGAUAUCUUUAUCGUCUUCCUCCUCUCUUUUUCUCUCUUGCGACAUUGCAUCCCAGGUGCGUGAUUCUUUUUUAUGCUUACCGUUUGUUUAGUCUUUCAUCAAUUAUGUUCUGGUUCAACUGAUUAAAAUUUGCUUUCUUUGUGUUGUGUUUUAGUGCAGUUUUGUUCCUUUCUUGGGAUAACGUAGUAACACAUUCUCCCUUUGCUAGCUGCCUCCUAGAAAUAGCGGCGUCUUUUGAAUUUCUUUUGAUCGUUUCAACCCAAAAACGACCCUGGGUCGUUGUCUAGCAUUCGUUUCACCGUGAUUUUUUCCUCUUGCGGAUGAAAAAUGAAACUAAGUAACCACCUAGGUUCGGUUUUGGGUUGAAGGGACCAUAAGAAAUUCAAAAGACGCAAGUUUUUUUUGGGGGAAACUAGCAAAAGGAGAUUGUGCUACUAGGCUAUCCAAAGACGGAAACAAAACUGCACUAAAACACAACCACUGUAUUAGACGUCGGUUAAUGCAAAAAUCGUCGUCUAUAGUGACUUUAGACGUCAGUCUUUGUCAUGUUCGACGUCUAUAUGUGCUCUUCAUCGUCGGUUAAUGCGUUAUCUGACGUCUAAUUAGUGUCUUUAGACGUCCAUUCAAACCAGUGCCGACGUUUAUUGACAUCGUUCGUGGGUACUAACUGACGUCAUCGGUUUAGACGUCGGUUUAAGAUUAGACGUUAAAAGCCCAAAAUAACCGACAUUAAACAACGUUUUUGCACUAGUGUUCUUUGAGUCCUCUGAAGAAAACAUCAUCUUCAUCUUGUUCCCAAGUCAAUGGAUAACCUCAAUUUUUGAAGGAUGAUGAACCCUUUUAUUAAAUUUAAAAUAAGUUUUUCUAAAAUAAUUAAUUUAUAAAAUAAUUACUUAUUUAAGAAGUCAAUAUAAUUUUUCAUAUUAAAACAAUUAGCAUUCCUUAUUUUUAAUAUAAGCAGAUUAAAAAAAUAAAUAAAAGGCUGACUUGUUUUUACUUAUUUUAUUAAAUAAAUAUUUUAUAUGUUUUUUGAGUUUAUUUAUUCUUAAAAUAAUCAUGUAACGUCGAAAAUAUAGUAUUUAAUUAUAUAAUAAUCAUCACAUGUUUAAUAUAAUAUAUCAAUUAAAAAAAAGGAAUAUAAAGUAAAAUUUACAGUUAUCCAAAAUAAUCAUAAAUUUUAAACUUUACAUACAACAUACAAGUAUUGACCUAUAUACAAGAUUGGUGUAUCGAAAACUACUAAAAAAAGACAAAUAAUAAAGAAAGACAAAUACUAAAGAAAGUGAAAUUAUAUCACUACUAAACAUGAAGACCCUUGUCGCCUAAAGCCUACUCUAUCGUCACAUCAUUAAUAUCAUUAGUAUGAAUGUAAAAAGCUCAGUUCUGAUGGGUUAUCCCGACACUCUAAUGAUCAUCCAUGCUUAAGUAGAGAGUGAUGAGUCAUGUGGUGAGAGUAGCAAGAGGUCUUAGUCUAAGUACUUCCAGUAUGGUCUAAGAUGUGGUACAGAUUAACCUUGUAUGGUAGCUUUAAUGGUUGUCAGUUGUUCCACCAUACAAGUGCAUAACCCACCAUGGUCCUAGCCUGAGGCCCUUUCUCCAUCUGGCAAAAGGCAUGUUGAAGGAUUGACCUUGUGUGAUAGCUUUGAUGGUUGUCAACUGUUCCACCAUACAAAGGGCAGAACAUGUUUUAGCUCGAUAUUCAUUGUAUAUCUGAAUAGUCAAGUCUAAGUUUGUUGCAUGUUAAGGAUGGAUGGUUUUAUUGUGUGAGGUGUAAACCAUGUUGUAAUGUUGUUUUAUUAUGAUUAAUUGUUUUACCACUAGCUUACCAUUGUUUUUGUUUUUGUUUGUCUAUGCAUUGUUUUCUCUUUUGCAAUGAUCACCUUAACCAGUGUGAACUUAAGAAGUGGACAUCUUCUCAGUUGAACCAGCGGUUUGUUGAGAGAUGAGCAACAUGAUAGAAAGUUUUGCUCUUCAAGGAUAAAAUCUUCUGCUCUAGUAGUCUCAGGUUUAUUGCAAGUUAUCAUGUAUGUACGUUUAUUUUAGUAGUUUUUACAUUAUUAAAAUGAAAUCUUACACUUGUGUCUUCUACAAUUCAUUUCAAUUUAAAGAUGAAAGUUUUGUGUUCAACCUAAUCAAUUCAACUUAAAUAUAUGCUUUUGUAAUUCAAUUUUAGUGACUAUUCUAUCAUCACCAUCUUCCUCACAACAUAAAGGCAAAAAGAAAACAAAGGAAAGGGUUUUGAAUGGUAAUAGUAUCUUCUACAAAAAUUAUCAAUAUUACCGACGAAUUUUUAUCGACGGAACUGAAUCUGUCGGUAAAUAUUCCAUUACCGACGACUUUACCGAGGGAUUUUGAUUUUCUUUUACCGACGGACAAAAGCCUUCGACAAGUCUGUCGGUAAGUGACAAUGUCAGUUACCGAAGAAUUUACCGAAGGCCCUUUUCCGUCGGUAAUGGCACUGUCACUUAUCGACGGAUUUACCGAAGGCUUUUGGCCCGUCGGUAACUUUAAUGUCACUUAUCGACGGAUUUAUCGAAGGCUUUGGGUCGUCGAUAAAAAGAGCGGGAAUUUUCCCGCCCAUUAUUUCACUUACCGACAUUACCGACAGAUUUACCGAAGGCUCAUGCCCGUCGGUAACUUUAAUGUCACUUACCGACGAAUUUAUCGAAGGCUUUGGGCCGUCAGUAAAAAGAGCGGGAAUUUUCCUGCCCAAAUUCCGCCUCCAGUGUCAAUAUAAUGGGCAAACACGCUCGUUUCUCCUCAUUUUUCUUUACCAUCUCAGUUUCACACCACCACUACUCAUUUCUCAUUUCUCCUUACCGUCUUGUGGCUUCAACUCUCUGCCAUUGCGGGUUGCUCUCCACUGUCGUAGGAUACUCUCCACCAUCACGGGAUGCUCUCCAUUUUUCCGGCGAGCUUAACUUUUCCAGCGAGCUUAACUUUUCCAGCGAGCUCCACUUUUCCGGCGAGCUCAAGUUUUCCGGCGAGCUUAAUUGUGCAUGAUAAAAUGACACAACAUCAUCGGUCCUAAGCUUUUUCGGUGAGCUCAACUCUCCAUGAUAAAAUGACACAACAUCACCGGUCCUAAACUUUUCCGGCGAGCUCAACUCUCCAUGUUUUCCUACGGUUAUUCGCGUGAUGGUUUUUUGGUGGUGGAGUUCGUGGAAAUGAAAAAAAAAAUGACACAGAGCGAGGAAGGAAGAGGAAGAAGAUGAACCAGGUCGCGACAUUUACCGACGGAUUUACUGAAGGCCUAUAUCCUUCGGUAAUUACCGACGGCAAAGGCCUUCGGUAAUUACCGACGACCAGUAGCCUUCGGUAAUUACCAACGGCCAAAAUCCUUCGGUACAAGUUACCGACAACCUUUUUACAGACAGUGUGCUAGCUGUCGGUAAGCCGUCGAUAAAUGCUAAUUUACCGACGAAUCAUGGUCGUCGGUAAAUGCUAAUGACGUCUUCAAGGCGACAACGUCAAACGAAACUUGUCGAAAAAAACCAGUGAUUGGCUAGCAUUUUGGAUGCGUAAAUAUGAUUCUGGUGAUGUCUCUAACAUCUUGGUCGUGACGGUUUAGACCGGUGAAUGCGAAGAUGAAUAAGAUUGGUGGGUGGAGGAAUGGAGAAGAUUGGUUGGUGGUGAAAACGGUGGAUGGACAAGAAAAAAAAUAUCCUAUUAAUUUUUUUUUUAAUGUUAAAAGUAGUGUUGGAUUUUAUAAAAUAAUUAAUUUUAAUCUAUAAAAAUAAAUUUUAAUUUUAAUUCAAAAAAUUAAAAUUAAACACGUCAGAGUCAUCUGUUAUUAUUUGACAGUCUAAUGAAGCGCUAGUUAUCACAUGAGUGAAAUUUAAAUAUUGUUUAAAAUAAAAAAACUAUAACUAUUUUAAAAAAAAUUAAGAUAAAGAUGUUUCAAAAUUUCACGCAUGAACUAUUUAGAAUUUUAUUUAACAAUAGAAGGAAACAAAAUAUUGAACUCAUGUAUAUAUAAAGAAAAAAAAAUUCAUAUAAAUUAAAACUAAAAAAGAAAUAAAAAAAAAAUUCCUAUUAAGAUAGCUUACAAGUUGAUUGAUUACAUAAAAACUAAUUAAAAAAGAGAAUCUGACUAACUUUUGAAAUCUCUAACGAGGAAGAAACCAAAAGAGGUUGAAAUUUAAAGGUUAGACUGUGAUUUAAUGCGUCUCAUUUUAUUAAGGAUAAUAAUAUUUAGACAACAUUUUUUUAACAAUAUUUGAAUAUCAUCUAUAUGUCAUUCUGUGAUUGGUACAUGGUGGUGUUUAUGAUUAUUAUUAUUGAUUGUGAAGUAAUUUUGUACCAAUCAUAAAUAAUGUUCAAAUGUUGUUAAAAAAAUGUUGUCUAAGUAUCAUUAUCCCUCUAAUAAACACAUAAUCAUUCCAGUAAAUACUUCUCAAAACUCCUCCAUUCUUAUUUGCGUGGGAUAAUUCUAAAAGACAGAAAUUAAAUUUUUCUUUUUUAGUAAGGGAAGGAAAAUGUUAAAUUUUGAUUUUUAUAUGUGCAUUCUUAAUGCUUCUUGCACUUCUAUUAUGUUAUGAUAAUAAUAUCAAAGAAGAAUUUUAUGAGCAAAUAUAUUUAGAAUAAUGUUAGGAGCAUCAAACACACAUUAUAAUAAUAUUAUUUACAUUAUAUGUAAUAUUAUUUUUAUAUUAACAUUUAUACUCUUAUAUUUUUAUAUAUGUAAAACCAAUUAAGAUAACAUAACAAAAUGAUACUCAUAUAAUCCAAUUUAAAAUGAUAAUUAUAUAACAUUCACUCAAUUAAAAAAUAUAAAAUUUUUAAAUAUUCAUUAAAUAGAAAAAUUAAUAGAAACUCGGUUAUUAGAUAUCUAAAUUUAUGAAAAAUCAAAUCUUAAUUAAGCUUGUAAAAAAAUAUGAUCAUAAAAUUUAAUCAUUUAACAGGUUGGAAUUUUUUUUUGUUUUGUGGUUUUUACAUUAUGAAGAAAAAAUACAUUAAAAAGAGUAACAUAUGAUUAAUAAUAGAAAGAAUAAUGAGAUAUCAUAUACUAGUAGUAACACAUGUAAGCACGUGUUACACACGUGCAUAAUUUUAACAUGUGUGGCAGUACAAAAGAUCGCUGUCGGACACCGACGACAAGUAUGGUAAGGUGUGACAGAGGCGCACGUGGUCUUAUACCGGACUAUCCGGUUCUUCUACCGGUAACUCACCAACCUUUCAUAAUUCAUCAUUGUUUCUUUGAUUUUUCCAAAAGAACAAAACAAAUCUUGGCGGUCAAAAUCUCAUUAAUUGAUUCAAACAAAUUAAUUACUCCCUUGGAUUUUCAAACACCUUCCUCUAUCUGUUUUAUUUAUUUAUUUAUUUUUUCAUUUUUUAUUUUCUGCAGUUAUAACGACUUGUUUUAUAUAAUAAUAAUAAUAAUAUUUAGUUUUAUUUAUGGCGUGCUUGCUUUGUUCUUUGUCGGGUUAACGUGAGAAAGGAAGAGGUGUUGCUUCAGUUUUGUUUUUGAAUGGUAAAGAAAGAAACUUUUGGAGUGGGUUUCUGAAUUUCUUUAGUUUUUUGCUCUGAAAAUGGAGAGAGAUUUUAUGGGUCUGAACUCGAAGGAACCAUUCGUUGGAACGAAGGAAGAGAUGAAUAAUGAUAGUGGGUGCAAAAUCUCAGGCAUGUUUAUGUUUUUUUGUUUUUUUUUCUGACCUCUGUAUGAUCACUCAAUUCAGUUUUUCUGUUUUUUUGGGAAAUUGAACAUCCGAACCAGUUACUAAAUUUUCUUGGUUUAUGAGUUUGGACAUAUUUUUUAGUCUGUAUUUCAUCCUUCUUUAACCAAUAAGAGCUGUUCAUGCAACUUUACUUCUGCUGCAGCUGUAGAGCUGCGGAUUAUUUAAUAGUUAGGGAGUUCAUGUAUAGUGAUUCUUGUUUCUAUAUUUGAAUUUUUCUAUGUGACUGUGUAUGGAAUUUGUAAUUUGAAAAAAAAUAUCAUUCUUCAGUUCUUUACCAGUUAUGUUGAUUUGGGUGUUGAUGCUUCUGCACAGUAAUACUUAGAAUGAUGCCAAGUCAUAAAAUUUGACAAUCUACUCCUCAAUUUUCCUUUUCCUUUCUUGUGCAUCCUUUGCAGUCUAUUUAGCUUGUAUUUGGUUUCAUGUUAGAUUCUGCAGAAUCAUAUUGAAGUACCAAGUAACAUGAUUUUAGUUAAAUUUUCAAGUGUGUUUGGUUUCACAUGAAGGAAUUAAUUCUGGGUCUAAAAUGAUUUUGGGUUGAAGCAAUAUAGGAACUGAAUUUUACUACUAAUUUGCUUCUAUAAUAAAAACAUCCUACAGAAUUCCUACAGAUCAAUUUUAAAAAAUCAAAAUUUUUCCAACACUCCUACAGAAUUCCUUCUUUUUUACUGACCCUAAUAAUAUUGAAAUUUAUGUUGAUGGUUCCUUGCUGGUAUGUAGGUUUCACAAAAGGAGGUAUGGUAAAAUGGCCCUUCAUGAACAAAGUAUCUGUCCAUCCUCAUUCGAUGUCUUUGAAUACUCCUCAGGUUUGAAUAUACACCUUCUCUCAGUUUUUGUGUAUUUGUUCAAAAUUGCAAAUUAGCACAACAGUUGGUUGAUUAGGCUUUAUAUUCUGUAAAGUAAAGUGAGUAAAACUUAUUCACUUUUAGCAGAUCAGAUGACUCCACUGCGUUCAGAUUGGUAUUUUUAUUGAGUCUGGUUUUGGAAAACUUUUCUGUUAAUGUAAGUUGGUAUAGAUCUGCUUAUACUAGUUUUUCUGAAUUAUGAACUUGUCCUUUAGAUCUGAACCUAGCUUUAAGAAGUUUUGCACUACCUCAUGUCUUUUGGUUCACAUAGAUUUGUUUAAUCCACUUUCACAUCAACAAAGUUUUGCUCUUUCAUUAACUGUAAUCUUCUUAUUACUUAGAAAUCUGUCAAUCAUGAUGAACAAGGUGGUGGCAUUCAUUUUUCCCUGAGUCCUUAUACUACACUACAUGAUGUGAAUCAUAUGAACCGCCCUCAUAAUGUGAAGAUGUUUCCAGUUCCCAACCAAGCAAUUCCAGUUUCCAUGGGACCUCUAUCACUAAAUAAUCCCUUUGCAACUCUUGGUCAGAAUAUGAAUGCUUCUAGUAUGAAGCAACCACUACUAGGGGGAAUACCUGUUACAGCACCCCAUUCAGUUCUUCCUGUAGUUGGUGUUGGUGCUGUUGCUGGAAUGACUGAAUCAUGGUAAUUACAUUUUUGUGCUUGAAAACAGUUAUAUAGAGACAAUGGUGGUUCAAGAUUUUAGGAGACCUUGGAGGUUUUUUUCUUGGAGAACUCAAACAAAUAGUACUCAAAGAAAUUUUUGAGGACCUUUUUAAGACAUAAAGAAAUUAGUACUAAAAAAAUUGAGAUUUUUUUUCUUGGAGACCUAAAGCAAGGGCUUUAUCUGUUUGUGUCUUGAACCGGCCUUGUUUAAAAAGAUGAUUCGAGUGCUGUACUGCAAUGAACAAACUUGUUAUUUUCUAACUUGUAUCAUUUUGAAAUAACAGUGUGAAACCAUCUGUAUCUGUUCCUAAACUUACCAUCUUCUAUGCUGGCACUGUGAAUGUCUUUGAUGAUAUAACUCCUGAGAAGGUAUUUUCUCUCAUGUUUUGCUGCAUACACAAUGAACAAACUAAUUGAGUAUAUGAAGAGGAACAUACAUCUCAUUGUUCAUCCUUGACCAUUUUUCUUCAGGCUCAAGCAAUCAUGUUGAUGGCUAGGAAUGGCUUAUCAGUUGCUUCUAAGGUGUCAGUGCCUAAUGUUCAGGCACCCAUACAUAGUAAACUCAUACCACUCUCAAGUAAUUUAUCUGGGUCUUCACAUACUGGUACAAAAUCAGGGAGUGUUUCAAGUAGCAGUGAUGAAUUUCUGGCAGCUAAAACAUCUGGUGGUACCCCUACUUCUGUUAACAAAGCAGAAACUCCUAAAGUAGUCAACACAAACACCAUGCUGUUAUCAGGUAUGGUAAUUUAUUGCUGCUAAUUGUAUCUUUGGUUCUUUAUAUACUUUUUCAUUUGGGGUAAGAUAAAUUUACUUUAUACUUAUCCAAAAUUAUUUGUUUUGAUCAUUGCAAGUGUUUGUAGUCAGUGAUUCUACAAUCAGAAGGUUUUUCUGAAUGAAUAUGACAUUUUCUUUUCACAUUUUAUGCAGCUGUGCCACAAGCUCGCAAGGCAUCAUUGGCUCGAUUUUUGGAGAAGCGCAAAGAAAGGUUAGCAUAUACAUGAUUUUUAUCUACUCACAAGAAAAAAUGAUUAUAUGGAUGAAAAAUUAUUGGAGUCUGAGGUGUUUCUGUUCAUGCAGGGUGUUGAGUGCAGCACCAUAUAACCUGGACAAGAAGUAUGAGAAUAUGUCAGAACAGAGUGCAACUGUUUCUAACAUCAGUGGAAGUGAGGGUGUAACCAAACAAGGAUAGUAGUAGUAAUAUUUGAUGCAACUUGUAACAUAGUAAAGUUGUGUGCAGAUGAUUUUAUUUUUAUCAGAACUUAAGCUGAGAUUAUUAUGUAUUAAACUGUUUUCAGUCAUUAGGUAGAGCCUUACUUUAAUUAUUUUUGGUGUAGGGCUUUUAUACCUUGUUACCUUCCAACAGGACAAGUUGUUACAGUGUUGGAAUUAAAGGCAACUUUAAAUAAUAUUUAUAUUUAUAUUUAUUUUCUGUACAUUCCUUAAAUCACUCAGUUUUAGUUUUACUAAUUGUGUUUAUACCUUCUUUACCUAUAUUUUUAUCUUUAAUUUGUCAAACAAGAACAAAAGGUUGAGUUAUAGGAGUAAGCUGGUGCAUAUGAGUGCAUAAUGGAGGGUUGCAAGGGAAUUAAUUUUGAACUAGAACAAUUAUAAUAUAUGACUACUAGACAAUAAAUAAAAUUAAAAAUUAAGAUAUUAAAAAUACAUGAGUUAAUGUUGAACUACUAAAAUGGUAUACCUGAUAAAAAAUUGUUGUUAUUUUGGAUCAUAAUGAAUUGAUAUAAAACUGUUUUAGUUUAACUGAUAAUUUCAUAUCAUAUGUACCUGUUAAAUAUAUAAAUGAAGAAAAUUUUGUCAUUUAUAAUGGCUCUUUACUCUAAUCUAUUAAUUGUUGUAAAAUAUACGAAAAUUAUAAAUAUAUGGUUAACAUUAAAGGAAUAGAUUCCCUUGGACAAAUAUCAGUGGUGCAAAAAUACAAAUAGACUUUAAGUCAAAUCAUAUUGAUUCUAUCAAUUAGGCUGCAGUAGAUAUUUAUAUAUCCAUUGACAAUUUCACAACCUAAAAAGUUUUAUACUUUCAUUAGAAGGAAGGACGUUGAGUGAAGCAGAAAAUAAAAGAAAAAGAAAAUUAACUAAAUGAAAAAAGGAAUAAAAAUGAAGAAAUGGUAUUUAUUAUUAAUAAUUUUAUUUUACUUAUUUAUUUUAAUAUUAUUUUUAAUUAUUUAUUAUUGUAAUAAUAAUAAAUGUAAAUAUUAAUUAUACGUGGAAAAUAUAAUUGAUUAUAUAAAAAAUAUAUAUUAAUAAUAUCUAUAUAUAUAAUUUGUAUACAUUUUCUUUCAUAUUUGAAGUAAUUUUCACUUUUUUUUUCUCUUUACUGUUUGCAUAGAGAGUUAAACACUUUUUAUUUCUCUGAGUAUUUUUUUUUUGUCAAGGUAAUUUUUAUUUAUUUUUGUUUCAUCAUGAACUUCUCACCUAUGAAGCUAACAAAGAAUUCAUUCUUAUAACUAUCUCAUAUUUUAUUUAUAAAUAUUAUUAAAAUAGGUAUUUUAAGACAAAUGAAUAUUAUUUUAAAAUUCUAUAGUUUAUUAAAGAUAUUUCAUUAUCAUAGUUAAAGGAGUGUUUAUUAUAUUAAAUAACCUACUCAUUUUUUUAGAAUUAGGUCAAAGCUAACUUAAACCAACUUCUCAAAUCUUCUAUGAAUUAGGUGGUGAAUUAUAAUAUUAAGUCCAAUAUCUAACUCAAUUCUGUUGUAAAAAAAAUAAUUAUAUUUGACAAUUUAUUUACAUGUUUUUUUUUAGUUUUUACAUUAAAUUGUAAUUAUAAUAUUUCUUUGUUUAGUUUUAUUAACACUAAUUACAUAGUUUUUUAAAAGUAUUCAACAAAAUUUAACAAAAACAAUAAUCAACUAUAAAGAAAUUGGCUGAUCAUUUAACUUAAUCUCAUUUCUAUUUAUUUAGAAAUGUUUAAUCUAAAAAACCGUAUUUUGUUAUAUGAAAAGAAUCACAAGUUUUGCAAGUAACAUGCAAAACAUUAAUGGUGAUGAACAAGUGGUGGUGCUUCAAGAGUUUUUUAGUGGUUCUUAUUGUGUUAUCACUUUCUUUAUUUGGUCACCAUCUCUCUCACUCUCACUCUCACUUUCAUUUUCUUUAUUUAUUUUUAAUAAAAUCUCUUUCAUACGAAGUAGAUAAUUUUGGAUGGUACCGCAAAAUAAAAAUAAAAAAAUAACUAGUUUUAUUAUUCAAGUUGAACAAGUAUGAAUAUAUAUGAUGGCAAGAAGAAAAAAAUCUACAAAAGCAUGUGCAGUGUGGUGCAAACAUCAAUCACAUUUCAACUAUGAAGAAUAAUAAACUAUACAUUGCGUGCAUUUGUGUCAAAACCUUCAAACAACCACACAUUUUUAUUUUAUUUUAUUUUAUUUUUUUUAUGUGAUACUUAAAGUUAUUUUCAACCAAGUAAUAAUCUUCAUUUAUUUAAUUUCUCUUUUCAAUAUAAAUGUAUUAUUUUGUUUCAUCACAUCUAUAGUUUAUUGAUGUUGGUCCAUCUGACAGUGAUUUAGAUUCUUUAGACAUGGUUUGGAAGAAAUGCAAGGUGAAGAAACCAUGGUGAAAUUGAGUGUUUUGCAUGGAACCUAGGAAACAGGGAAAAUAAAACAUUAUGUUAUUUAAAAGCAUUUUUACUGAAAAGUAGGAUAAAAUAACAAAGUAGAUAAAAUUUGUAACAUCCAGAAAAAUUAGAUAAGUAAAAAACAAAAUAGUCACAAUAGUAGUUAUUUAAAUAUAAAAAAUUAUUAGUACACUUUAUUAGAAUUUCAUGAUAUGGAUUUGUGAUUAGAUUAUGUGUUUGAUUCUUCUUGUUUACAUAAUAAAUAUUUAAUUCUUUUAUUAUUAUUUGUUUAUUUGCAAGUUUAGUAUGUAUUGAUAUUUAAAAUAAGUGUUAUGCAUUGUCUAUUAAAGUAUGAAUGUGUUGUUGAAUUUGUUUGAAAAUUGUUUUGAUGGAGAUGUGAGAUUUUAGAAAUUCUAAUGAUUAGGAAAAAUAUAUAUAAUAUGAAGUAUUUUAAAUAAAACAUAAUAUGAUUUGUUUUUAAUAUUUGAAAUGUUUAUUUUUAUUUUAAAAGAACUUUAAAAAAAUAAGAAUUAGUGAAAAAUUAUUUAAUUAGAAAAAUCAUUAUUGGAUAUGGUUAAAUAUUUUAAAAGAUGUUAUUGGAUAUUGUUAUAUACUUGAUUAAUUGAUCAAUGAAAAGAUAUCUUAAGAUAUUAUUAGAUAUAAUUACAUAUUAUUGUUAGAUAAUAAUAAUUAAAUAGAAUUGUAUUAUUUUGUUUGAAACAAAAUUAAAAUACAAUAAUUAAUUAUACAUCUUAAGUAAGUUGUUUUAGGAUUACAUUAGCUAGUUAUUAAACUAAUGUAAAAGGAAUUAACUACGCAAUGAGAUAUGAUGAGGUUCCUUGUUGUCUUGGUUGGUGAUUUGAAAAAGAGCUACAUAUGACUAGACAACAACAAAUUUACCCUAAUCACAUUCAGUGUGUCCUUUAGGGGUUGAGCUCUGUUAGACACUAGUAAAAAAAGGGCGUUCAACCUUGGACAAUAGGCAUCGAGUUAGCUAAAACCGAUGCAUAUAAACUUAUUACCUCGGGCCAAGAAGAAACCGAUGCAUAAUAUCCUCUAAAAAGCUGAUUUUUGGCCUGUCACUAGCUUUACUGACUCGGUUCACUGCAGAACCGGAGCAUAUAAUCGUUAUUACCUCGGUUAAAGGUGUAACCGAAGCAUAUAGGCUGUCAACAUCACCUUUUUCACUGUCAUCUGAGUUGCCUAUGAAGACUACAACGCAUCCUACGACAUCGAUUGCUGCAGAACCAUUAUGGAAAAGCUUUUAUGCUUCGGGUGGUAGAGAACUGGUGUGGAAAAGCUCAGCAUAUGCAUCGGGUAAACCAACAACCGAGGCGUAUACAUGUAUUUGGCAUCGGUUAACUAGAGGACGGGUGUAAUAACUCUUGACUUAUUUAAAUUUUUUUGCCCUUCACGUUCAUUUGUCCACUUCAUUACGCGCUCUCUUUCUUCUGCCCUCUGUUUUCUUCUACUUCGUCGCUCCCUUUAAUCGUUGCCUCCAACCAUUGUCGUUGAACCACCGUUGUUGAACCACCGUUGUUGCCUUCAUUGAGAAGUCCACAAAGCUGCCUCAGCCUGUUGGACUGUCACAGAACCAUCAUUGUUGCACUGCCCCUCUGCACUGCCCCUCUGCACUGCCCUCCCUGCUCCACACCAAUUAUUGCAUCGUUCCUCCCUGCUCUGUUGCAUCACUGGUUUGGCGCCUUCCUCUCUUCCACGUCGUGGUCUUCUUCUUCCUUUCCUCCCUUGCCACUGUUCUUCCUCAGUCAUUUCCCACUUCUAGUGACUCCCUCGCCGACCCUCCCCCUCCGCAGUCGUCACCGUUCUCGCCCUGCCUCCAUUUCUUCUCCUUCUCCCUUGUCGUGCCUCUGCCUGUUUCUCUCGCCCAUUGUUCUGGUUUUUGUUUGUCUUUAGUAAAGAUGAGAACUUUAUGGUUUAAUUUUGCACAUGGUGAAGCUCUUCAAGGUGCUGCACGGAGGCGCGUCGGCUUUGGUGGCAGAGGCUCUUGCGAGCAUAGGCGCGUCAGAAUAUGCCGCAAGGUGAUGCAGUACCCCAUUACUGUCACAACUUCUGCAAAGCCUGUUUGGAGGGUGCCUUUGCCGGAAAAAGUUUGAUGAGGGAAAGGUCACAUGAAGGUGGAUUAAUAGGGAAAUGAUGACUUUGAUAGAAUCAUGGGAAAGAAGCCUGAAGAAGAAAACCCUGAGGAGUCAAAUGAAAAUGAUGAUAAUGAUGAAAGUCUGGAUGAUGCAGCCGAGGUUUCAAAACCUGAAAAAAAAAACAUGCUAUUGCCUCGGUUAUCUAAGAAUUGAGGCCUAAUCCUUUCUCGUUUUAAAUCGGUUCGUGACCGAGGCAUAAAGCCUACCUUUUUUUACCUCGCCCGUAUAUGCCUCGGUUGUAGAACCGAUGCCUAUAAGUAAAAGCAACUGGCGUUUUUUUUCCCUUACUGCACUAGUGAGAGCAAGAUAACUGUUGGGUAAAGCAUGUGACAUAUGUAGAGUUUCUAGGGUUCGAUUCAGUACAAACCCACAUUUCGAAAGUAGAUUCAUCUUUCAUGCAUAUUUAUACAUCCUUAUAUGUAUAUAUAGACAUGAUUUGGUUGUGAGGACAAGACAAACUCAUCUAAUAGAAACCAUGGUCUUGGUUUUGAAGUUUAACUAAAUAACACGAAAUGAAGAAGUCCUCGUGUAUGGAAAGCUAACCUCAACUAGAAAAAAACUUAGCGAACCAAAAAGGUUAAAACAUCUAGAUUAAGAAAAUGGAAAACCUUAAGAUAAAGAACACUAAGUUAGAAACACUCAAACACUAGGUUAGAAAAACCUUAAGUCACAAAACCCCAAACCUAACUUAAGAAACCAACCUUUAGUCAAACACCAUAAUAGAAAAAAACUCCAAGUUAAAAGACAAAUCUUAAGAAAGAAAACAAUCAUCAAACACUAAAAGAACAUCCUAGAAAACCAACCCUAAGCUAAUACGAAAACCCUAGAUUAGGAGAAAAGAACACAAUGCCAUGAGAGAAGAAAAAGAAAUGAAACUACAACUGCUCAGGAAACAUAAUAAAGAACAAAAGACUUGAGAUAAUAGGAUAAAACUCUAGUUAGAAAAAGAAUAGAACUUUAACCAAAAAGAACACACCCAAAGGCUGUAGGUAAUCAUCUAGGCGAAAGAAUUAAACAACCUAGACUAAGGAACUUAAGAAGGAAAACUUAAGACACAAACCGAAGACAAACAAACUCGGGUUAACAAUCAGGAAAUAACUUAGGGUGAGAACACAAGACUUAGAGCCUAAACCCCAAACAAACACAACCUAGAACUAGAAUCCCCAAACAUAGAAAAAUAUAGGAAAAUACUUAGGUCCUAGGAAAAAAAAAAGCAUAUAGGCCAAAACACUUAGAUGCAUGGCUAAAUGAUGUUAUGCCUAAAGCAUCCAAGAGAGAUUGAAUUAAACGCUUAAUGCUUAUUAUACCUGGAAUAUGUAUUUGGCUUCUCUCGAAAACAAAAUAGGUCGAGACAAUGCCUAUAACAAAAUACAUUAAAAGGGUUAAUUAUUAAAAUAUGUAAUGAAUCUUAAUCAAGCUAAACACUAUCUGUCUAAAAAGUGACAAAAGCUAAAGAAGCGUUUACUUGACUAAACGAUACCAUGAGCUCAACAAGUAUCUUAUCUUUUGAUAAAAUGUAUAUCUACACUUGGUAUCUUCAAAGGAAAAAUCUUAAUUGUAAAAUGCUACCAAAUACUUUGUUGUUCUGAGCAAGCAUUAAACAAAAUUAAAUGCUCAACAUUAAAAAAAAAAAACAACAAAAGUGAUAUCUGAUUAAGAAGGUAAAAGGAAAAACAUUUACAGAAUGUUCUUUCCCUAGGAAGUGCCAUAAAGCCUAUGUAGAUACAAACCUGAAAGAAGUAAAACAUUAAAAGACUCUCAAGCUAAAGUAAUAACAAGAUAGAAGAAAGCACAAGAACCUUAAAUAAAAAGACAAAAAUACUAAAGGUAAAUAAGAUCUACAAUAUAUGUAUUUAUCUUGUGUAUGACAUCACUACAAACAUUCGUUUUAUAAAUGCUAGAAUGAAAGUUAAGAGAAAAGACAAAGAAGAGCGCUUAAUCAGACUAUCAAAAGUUGUGCAAAAAAGAUAAGUCAAGAUCACCUUUGAUAAAAGUUCUGAAAAGCUCAUCUGCUCUGACAAAGACUCCAUCCUGUGACUGACACCUAUACAAAUAUCCAGAAAGGAACCAGUCUCAAGACAAGCUUCGUCAAACGAUCAUAUAGUCAAAUCUCAAGACAAGCAAUGUCACAACGACUAUAUCCUCAAGGUGUAUAAAUAUAAGACAAGAAAAAAAGAAGAAAAAGAGAUGAUGAAGAAGAGAGAGAAUAUGAAUAUAUAAAGAUAUCUCAUCAUCCAUUGAGCGAGGAAAUCUCUUUGAGCUAUCAAUGAUAAUUGACUCCUAUCAGAGAAAAGGAGAAAAAGAAGAGCCCAAGAAAAGAAAGAACUCUCAAGCUUUAUCAGAAUAUCCACUUGAAGAAAGAAGAGAGAGUAAAAGAGAGAAACAUAGAAAGUCUCUCAAAGCUUUAUUGUAAUAUUUUAUUGUGUUUAUCACAUGAAAGAAAGAGAGAAAAGAGAAAAUUAAAGCAUUCCUCUAGUACUUCAAUGUAUUACAUGCUUACUUAUGUAAGGAAAGAAAAAUAGAGAGAUGAGAAAAACACAUGCGAGUGUUUAGAUUGUUUUGUAUUGUAUUCAAAUAUUCUUUAUGAGAAUUAUGGUUGGAAUGACUUGUAAGCAAUUUAUGAUUACAAUUCUGGAGAAAAUCUAAACACUUACAACUUAACUUUGAACGGUUAAGGAAAUCUCAGCAGGUUCCUAAGUACCAGGAGUGGUACGAAUACUCAAGAAAAUCUUGGCAGGUUGCUAAGUACCAGGAGUAGUGUGAAUACUCAAGGAAAUCUCGGUGGGUUGCUGAGUACCAAAAGUGGUGUGAAUACUCAAGGAAAUCUCGACGAGUUACUGAAAACCAAGAGUGGUGCUAAUACUCAACUGAUCUAAGGUAACUAGAGGUUAUUCGUUGAUUAGUGAUACCAGGAGUGGUGAAUAAUACUACACAACCAGAAGUGAGGGAAACUAAACUAGACAGUUUUCUCAAAGGCAUUGAGAGUGUUUAAGGAUACAAGGAGUGCUAAAUAAUAAUAUGCAAUUAGGAGUGAGUUAAACUCAAUUGUACUUCAUUGAAUAUCUAAUGGAACCCUCUAAGUUAACUUAGAAGAGAACUGGACUAGCCUUAAUAGGUGAACCAAUAUAAAAAGUUAUGUAUGUUUUAUUCUAUUGAUAAAUGAUUGUAGUAUACUAACUUCUCCUAUGAUCUCUCUCUUUGAUUUUAUGACAUGCGCUACUUAAGAGUACUGUCUACGUUAGUAAACAAUCUCUAUAUGUCAACGUUUACUAACCAAGUCUACCAACUCAUAAGUGUUACAUCAGGACCAGAAGGCAAGAUGCGAAAAAGCUAGGGGUUACAUAGUAGUAGACGAUACCACAAACAGUGAUGCACAACAAUAAAGGGACUAUUUGUGGGGCAUAAAGUGGGAAUAAUUUUAAGUAUUUUUCAUUAAUAAUAUGAAGUUUGAUGUAUGGUCCAAGUCAAGUUUUUUAAGUACAUUUAUAUUUAUAAUGACCUUUUUGAACAUAACUUCAUAUUUGGGGUUUUAUACCUAAAAAUUGAAUUUGAUGUAAAUGUGAUUCCCCUUAGGUUGAAUUAAAAUGGUUGGUCAGAUUGCUAUGAGGAAUGUAAACAAACAAUAUGAUGUUAAAAACAUUAAAUAGUGUGAUGAUUAAAAGUUGUGUAAGUUCAAAGUAAAACAAGUUAUUAGACAAAAUAGGGUUAGAUGUUGUAUCACAACUUAAUGUAAGAAGAAAUGACUCCACCUAAAUAAUGUUGGGAAUCCAAGUAUAAGUUUAAGUCCCACAAUGGGUAGAAUUGAGAAAGUAGAGCACCAUAUAAAAUUGAAGACCUAUUAACCCAUUACCUUAAGGUUUUGGGUAUAGAGUGGUGUCAAUCCCUUAUGUUGUUAGGUUAAGGUCUCAUUGGUGUUAUGUCUCCCCAAUGAACCCCUUCCAUUGAUAAACCUAACAAGUGGUAUCAGAACCGAUGAUAUGGUCCCUAUAUUGAUGCUUGGGAAUGCUUCUGUUAGAGGGGGAGUGUACCAAUGUGGAAGAGACUCUCCCUUGAGGGGGAGGUUGUUAGGAAUCCAAGUGUAAGUCUAAGUCUUACAUGAUGAAGACCCAUUAAUUCAUUGCCUUAAGGUUUUGGGUUGAGAAUGGUGUUAAUCUCUUAUGUGGUUGGGAUUAAGUCUCAUUGGUGUUAUGUCUUCCCAAUGAACCAACGCCCUGGAUAAACCUAACAGAUAAUACAAUGGGUAUGGUUUACCUAUAUAAAUGCAAAAAUCAAACUUGUAUAAUAUGAUAUACUGAUGGUGAACUCCUUAGACGCUUUGAAAAUGCUUAAAGUUUAGCAACUUGAAAUAACAUAUAUGUGUGAAUAUUGUUGGAGGUUGUGGCACUUGGCUAAGGUUGUUACAUUUAUGGUAUCAAAGUAAUUAUGAGCCUUAGGUUUCCUUUGGGAGGGGUUUGUUGUUUUUCUACUAUGAAUUAUUGGAAUGUGUUCAUUUGUGUUUCUACUGUGUAGUUUUGUAUGUGGAUGAUGUGUUGUUGUUUGUUUAUAGUGGAGGUGGUUUCUAAGUCCUUUAUGUUGAUUGAUAACAGAGUAGCUCGAACAUCUCUUUCAAAAAAAUCAAAAUCCUACUUAUAUAAGUAAGAUUGUAAAUGCUAUAGAAAUGAUGACCAUUUCCUUUCAACAUUAAAGUGUUGUUAAUGGAAGUUGCUCCACACAAAACUUCAUUAGACUAUUAAAUCAAUGAUAGAUGAUGAUUCUAGAAACGAAAGCGAAUUUAAAGAAUGUUUAAAUGUGUUUGAUGAGUGAAUUUGGAGUGUGUUUCUUGGGAGAGGUUCAGCCCAUUCUCAAGGCAAAGGUCUAGAAAAGAAGUCUAGCAAAGAGAAAUUAUCCUAAUGAACCCAAAAACAAGAGAGCUACAAUUUUAAUAGAGUUUCUCUAUAUCAAAUCCGAGUUAUUUUAUAAGGUUGAACACUCUUACUUAUAUGCUUAAGAGCUUACUAGACUCUCUACAAAAGAGACAGAGAAUUUCAAAAAUUCAAAUGUGAAAAAUAAUCCAAAAUAGCCAUGUUUCAACUCUAACUAGUCAAAAUGGCAAUCUCAUGCUUCCCACAUUGCCACAUCAACACAUGAAAAUAAUUUGAAAUAAAAGUCUAAAGGGCAAAACAGGUAUUUCAAAGCUUAUAGAGGGCGUAUAGAAACUAAGGGAAUAUGGUAAGCAAAGCCCAAUUAGUUUCAUCUUUGUUUUCUAUAUGUAGGGGAAUUCUGUGCAAUAAAGAAUUUAAUAAAUUAUUUAAUAGUUUUCGUCAGUGUAAAAUAAUAAAUACAUUGUACAAUUAAAAUUAGGUUUAAUAUCUCAAUAAGUCAUUAUUUUUGUCUAAAAUCUAAAAUAGGUUCCUGAUUUUUUUAGGGUCUCGAUUAGGACCUUAUUUUUGUUAAAUUGAUAAAAAUAAAUCCUUUCCGUCAAAUUUAACAAACGAUGUUAAUGAGUAUGUAGCUUGGUAUGGUGACAACCUAAUUUUAAUACACGUGUCAUUAAAAACGAGUAUGAUUUCUUUUUUUAAUUAAUGAAAGGGCAUAGUUGUAAAAUCUUAUUUUAGUUGGAAAGCCCUUCUCUGCAGUUGCAAAUGGAAAUGAAAUUGGGUUUUUAGGAUUUGACAACAUUGCCUCCAUCCUCGCUGCCCAGCACCGCUGGUAACUCCAGUACCUCCGCUAGCCCGACCACUUCUACUUCAAUGACCUCAAAACUAGCAUCCUCCAAUCGCGAACCUUAAUUAAGGACCUCGUCAAUGCAGACCAUGUCGAUGAGAUCUCCAUUAUCAACAACGCCAUCAUUGAUGCCGCCAUCGUCCUCCAGCACACCGCAUGGAACUUCCGCGAAGGAAGAUUCCAGAAAGGUGAUGUCGUCCUCAUGCUUCACUACGCUUACGGUGCCAUCAAGAAAUCCAUGGAAGCGUACGUCACUCGCGCCGAAAGCAAUCUUGUUGAGGUUCCCUUCCCUUUUCCUGUUAACUCCAACGACGAGAUCGUUUCUGAGUUUAGGAAGGCCUUGGAGAGAGGAAAAAGUAACGGAAAUAGGGUUAGAUUAACGGUGAUUGAUCACGUGACUUCCAUGUUGUGUGUGGUUAUUCCUGUCAAGGAGUUGAUUCAAAUUUGCAGGGAGGAAGGGGUGGAUCAAGUUUUUGUUGACGCUACUCAUUCCAUUGGAUGCACUGAUGUUGACAUGAAGAAAAUUGAUGCUGAUUUUUACACUAGCAAUUUGCAUUAGUGGUUCUUUUAUCCACCUUCAAUUGCUUCGUAGGAACCCUAAAUUGCGUCGUAGGAACCCUAAAGGUUCUAGUUCCGAUUUACAUCACCCUGUGGUGUCUCAUGAGGGAUGAAUCCUAAAAAUUAAAUUCCUCCAAUUUCAUUUCAUUUCAAUUUCGUUGCAAAGAGAAAGGAGGCAUUCAGCAAAAAGUAAGAUUAGAAAUCCAACUUUGCCCUUUCUUUAAUUAUAGUUUACUUAAUUUUUUAAUUUAAAAUUUAAAAAGUUAGAAUUGAAACACGUAUUUAAUGACACUUAUGUUAAAAUUAUACUGUCAUCCGACAAUUUGACAUACUCAUUAACACUAUUUGAUUAAUUUAACAGAAAAGACUUAUUUGUAUUAAUUUAGCGAAAAUAAGGACCUAAUUGAUACGCCAAAAAAACAAAGGACAUAUAUGAGAUUUUAGACGAAAAUGAGAAUUUAUUGAAACAUUAAACCUUAAAAUUAACUAUAAAAAGAAUUUAAAAUUUCUGUAUUAAAUUAACUAUAAUUAAUAGAAAACACUAAGGAACUAUUAAAAAAUUAUUUAUAUGAAUAAAAUCAUAUUUAAGCGUAAUAGUAUAAUAACAACGAUGAUUAUAUUUGGUUUCUGCUUUAUUUAUAAUCUUGGUCACGAAAGAUAAAGAAAGAACAAACAAAAACACUUUGUACAGCUUAUGAUCCUUCUUUAUGUCUUUUAAAACAAUGAUACUUCUUUCUAGAAAAACCUUUGUGCAAAUGAUAGUUGUAUUUGUGCAGUGACCAGCUGCUGUCAUGCACUUAAAAGUUGUAUGUUUGCACUAAAUUGUGAUUUCAGUGAUGACUAAGGUAAGAUAACUAUAGUAGAUAAAAUUGUUUGUGAUAUAAUCGGGAUUUUAAUUGAUUUCCAUUAGCAUUCCCAGUCCCACAUUAAUUUAUAUUCCUGCUCUAAAUCGAACUUUACUUCUAGCUGUAAUACAGAAGAGCUCAAUUGAUACGCAAUUAUACACUUCGGAUAAAGUUUUGGGAGAAAUGAAAUAAUAGUAUAUACAUUGUUUUAUAUACAACUCUUAAUUCAUACAAUUUCUAAAUCAUGCUGUGUAUUUGUCAUCAGCUAGAGCCAGAAUAUUCAAAGUAUAAAAUACAGUAGCAUCUAAGUUGGAUUCUGAACUAACUUAGGAUGAGAUGCCGCAUAUACAGAGGAAUUCACAUUAGGGUUUAGGUGUGAAAGCAGAUGUUGAAUGUCUGGACGUAAACUCUCUGAUGCCCUUCCAAUGAGGGCCAAAACAUCUGGUCGUGGUUUGCUGCUAGCCUGCACAGGCCCUCCCUGUCCCUCAUAGUGGACGACAUGAUGGCUGAAAAUCAAGUGGUAAUGUAGAAGAUCAGGAUUUCAGAACUAGUAAUAAGGUCAUUUUAUAAAAAUUCAGUAACACUUACAGGAAGUCAAUGAUAUCUGCUAUGUCUGAUGCAUCAACAGCAAUCGUUGUCUGGGAAUUUUUUCCAAAUACAUCCACUAAUAUACUUAGUAAUGAUGAGAGAGUCUGUCAUUUUCAAGUGAGGAAAACCAUCAAUACCCCAAUUUUAGUGACCACCAGUAUCAAAGAUCCGAUAUACCAUAAAAAAUAUGGUAAAAAAACCAUGAGAUAUGUGUAUAUGAUAAAAUCCUAAUAGUAUAUCUAUAAUGAGGUUGUUAUGGUUUAAAUAAUUUUGGUCAAGAAAGUAUGCUCUCACAGAAAAAGAAAUCAGCAAGGGCUAAACUGUGACAUUGGUUGAGCUUCAGCACCUCUAGUCAUUGAUAUGUGAGUAGACAAAUUCUGAUUAUAUCCUACUGCAAAAAUUUCAAUGCCUCAAAUAGAAAAAUUUUAUUACUUAUAUAAUUUGGAUGCUCAUUAUUCAUGAAUUGUCCAGGAACUAGAAACUUAUCGAAAAAUUGGGACAAUAUUAACCCACCUUGAAACACAAAUUGGAAAGAUCUUAAUUCUGGAAGACUACGAUGUCAAGAAACAAUAAGACAGAAGUCAACUCACAGGGAUGCCAAAGUUAUUUAUCAUGAGAUCGAGACCUUGUAACUAUCAGUGAAAACUCUUUGAAAAUCUAAUUUUAUAAUUUUCAGACAGAAGUUUCUGAUCUCACAAAGUGAUAAUAAUAUCAGCGGAUACCAGAAGAGAUAUGGAGCAUAGGCUAGCAAUUAUCCAUUGCAGGUGUUUGUUUAUAGUAUCUGUGACUCAUAAUAAAGAAUCCUCCCUGAGCCGGAAAAUAAAAAACCCUGCCUGAGCAUGGAGAAUUAGGAUUCUACAAUACUAGGGUGAGAGAGUUCUUUUGUGAAAGGAUUUCAUUAAUACAGAGCAACAUCUUGAAUAAAAUUUCAUUUCUCUUCAUAAGUAAUCUAGUUCUAUCAGAAUAUUUUCUCAAGAUAGUGGAAUUGUUGAUUUCCUGUACCUUGUUGAAAAGUGCAUGAGCAUUGGCAAGUUUUGGAAGGAGUGGCCCCAUUAUACGGAAUGCUAUUCUCAACAGGGCGACUGAUGUUACAGGCCGAAGCUGCUUGAUAAUGACAUUGGUCCCUUCAAGCCAUUCUUGAGGGAGGUUACUGAAGAAAGAAUGAAGCAAGGCCACCACAUUCCCUGUGAUUACACAAAAGGUCAGAGUCCUUAUAAGGCACAAACAAUAACAAGAAAUAGAUUGAAAUUCACCUAAUUAAAAUGGAAGCAGUAAACUACAUACCACUGAGCUUUAUUCAAAGAAAAAAUGUCAGCAAGACACCCUCUUAAACACAUAUUUUAAUAAAUUUGAUGGGAAAUCCUGAAAUUGAGUGGGCUCGGUUCCCCAUCAGGUCUCAUGAUCUCACAAUUCCCUACGGAUCUUGGUAAGGGUGUGUUAGAAAGUACAUUGCUAGCUAGCACUCGAGAUAAAGGUAAUGUACACUUUAAAUUCUAUAGAAAUCCUAGAUAAUAGGGUGGUACCAAAACCUAGUAAUUGUUAAAAUAGUUGUUUAUUAUUUGUUGUACAGCUCUUAAAAAGCUUUUUAAUGUCCCUUGCUAAAAGGCUAAGAGUCACGCGGCUAUGUCCUCACUUUUCAUAUACACACAAACACACUUUUGUGUAUAUUGAUAUAUACAUAUAAUACAUCAGCCGCGAAAAUACUAAAUGAUUUUUGGUUAUCCUUUAAUUCCAAAUAUAAUCAUCUACAAACAAAAGAUUAAAGAAAUCUGUUCAGAAACAAUAAAGAAAAUUUUAAAACCUAUUUCAGUCCAUAUUCUAGAACAAAAGAUUAAAGUAAUCUCAAGUCAAUGAAAUAAAUUUCUGAGAAAUAUCUUCUAGAACUUCUACCCAGUUGGUUUGGUCACACUUCAUACAUAAAUUAUUUUACCCUGAUUUGAGUUAAACGAUAUCUCUAUGCAUAAGAUUUUGAGUGGCAUAAACUUCAACAUGCAAAACUAUAGCUUAACCUUGCUGCAUAAAGCACAUCCAUUUUGUUGGAUACAAAUCAUCAAUAUUUCAGAUAAGAAAAUAUCUCACACAAGUCACACUUUUUAAUAUUAAAGACAGAUUGAUGACAUAGAACUAAAAAUAUAAUGCAAAAUUUAAGAAAGCCGCUUAGUAGAAUAAAACCCUUCUGCCAAACCUUACCAAUUGCUGUAGAGGUAUUGUCCUGUGCAGCCCAUGUUGGAUCUAACAAUGCAUAGCCAACUGCAGAAUCUAUUUCCCCAAGCGACCUUGUCCCAUCCUUAAGCCACCAGUUCUCUUUUAUAAUACGUGUCGUUUCCAAAUAAAGUUGUGAAUGAAAAUCAGAGGGAAGCUGAGCCAGUAGAAGGCCACAAGCUUGAAUUAACAAACAAGAUAGUUGUUGACAUGUAUAACCACUUCGAGAAGCAAAGUUAGAGGUAUUUAUUCCAGAAACUGAAGGA
This 83485-nucleotide long non-coding RNA is filed under the name Vigna radiata. RNAcentral's name for it is "long non-coding RNA (VRAD_LNC011349)". Lineage: Eukaryota; Viridiplantae; Streptophyta; Magnoliopsida; Fabales; Fabaceae. The record is from RNAcentral.